RNAcentral lists this long non-coding RNA (53135 nucleotides) under Oryza sativa (Asian cultivated rice). RNAcentral's name for it is "long non-coding RNA (OSAT_LNC000714)". Lineage: Eukaryota; Viridiplantae; Streptophyta; Magnoliopsida; Poales; Poaceae. The record is from RNAcentral.
UGAACCCUCACGAACCUGCCUUAACCCAAGGCUUACGAUGAUUCAGACCGAACUGGCAACCCGACCCUGGGUCCCAGCUCGUCCCAAGCCAACCCAGGCCAACCAUUCCACAUUUUAGUUGUUGAGCAAAUUUUAAGAAUUAAAACACUAACUUGGGUACAUUGCUCGGCUUGCCCAUAACCGAGGGCGCGGCUAUUCGAAUAGAUUAUACUCUGAUCAGAGGUGUACAUCUUUACCCACAAGACACAUCUUCCUCACGUGUAACCACGUGCCACAUACCACCACGGUAUACGGACGGAAGACGUGACAUAGUUUCCAACCCAUCCUAGCCAUAGACAAGAGUACCGACCCAACCCCACCUACGGCCGGAACCUCCGGGACAGGUAGGCAGGAUUGAGCCCCUAGCAGCAGGACACCAGCCCUGUGCCAUGACAUCUCGACUACCGGGCCGCAGCUCGUGUAGCCUUCAUUUGUCCUAGAGAUGUCCAUCGACCCCCGACUUCGUCCAUCUCCAUCCGUGUACUUUUGUUUAUAACCAGACUGAGCCACAAACUAAGCCUUACCCACUAGACAUGUGGAAGUACGGUAGUGCUUUGCAACAGAGGCCCGAGCUUAAUCCUUAUAGUACCCGAGGUACGACUAACAAAACCCAACCACGCACCUCGAGCCCAGCCUAAAACCAUUUUGGGGGUUUUGAAUAGAGGGGGAGGUGUGUGUCCAAUUCCAACAUAAGCCAACCAUUCCAUAGUGUCCAAAUGAUAUGAGAAUUCCCAAAGUCUAAAGUUAUAAAACCACCUAAUGUUGCCUAAUUAACCAGCAAAGCAUCUACCUAAGUUUAUACUAGUGGAACCAUGAAUAGAGUACCCACUAGUUGGGGUUUUAUUUUCCUAGGGUGAACAAGUUAAUAAUAUCAAUAGCAAUAAUAAUGUCUUAACAAAGGUAAAUAGGCAUGGCUAAAUAAAACAGUGAUAACGCAGGAAUUUAAAUAAAGCGAUAAUGCAUUAAUUUAAAUCAAAAUAAUUUUAUAAACUGGGAUUCAAUAUGUUCAAGGAUGAUGUGACUUGCCUUGCUCGCUUUCCCAAACGCCAGCUUCAACUUCCACGAAGAGCGGAUCUUCCGAAGCUGCAGCGUCUACACGACCGACGGAAUAGAAAAGGCUUUUACACUAAUAAACUCCAUAUAACAAGCAGAAACAAAGCACAAAAAUGGGUUCUUGACUUCUUAAGGAAAAAUUGGAGACUUGAACGGUCCAAUUCCGAGUUCAAAUGGCCAAGUUAUGGCCAUUUGAAGUUUAUAUGCUCUUUAAAUGGAUAUUUACGAAUUUCUUCAUUUAAAUUUUAAUUUAAAAUCGGAUUUAUUGCGUCAGCCGAGGGGAGGGGCGCGCGGACCGGGUCCACGGGAGUGGGGCCCACGCGGCAGCCUCACGGUCCACGGUGGACCGGGUGCACGCGGCUUGCGCCGGCCGGCGCCGUGGGUCCCACGCAUCAGCCGUACCCGCGGGCGCGGGCGGCUGACGGCCGGGCCCCACAUGGCAGCCGCGGGGCGCGCCCGAAGGCGGCCUCGCCGGCACAGCCGACGGGAGGCGACGCGCCCGCGCCCCUAUGGUCGCCGGCGGCGACCUCCGGCGCGACGGAGCGGCGCCCGAGAGAGGGGAGGGAAGGGGGAAGCGAAAUGGCGGUCCUCGGCUCACCCCGGGUCGACGGCGACGACGGGAACGGCGACCGAAGCGGAGAGAGGCGGCGGCGCGGCUCGGGUCGACGAGGACGGCGGCGUUCCGGCGGUCGGCGGGCGAAACGAAGGGGUGGACGAAGUCGACGGGGACGCGGCGAAGCCGAAGGAGGCGAUGCCGAAGCGGGAGGAGGUCCGGGGCGACGACGGCGGCGAACCGAAGCUCGGCGGCGACGGCGGAGAGAGAGGACGACGGCGCGAGCUCGAUUCCGACGGGGAGAGAAAGCGGCAAGGGUCGGAAACGGAGGAGGGAGGCACGGGGAGUGCUUAAAUAGUGUUGGGAGUGAGAGAGGGCGGCCGGAGGGGAAGGAAACCGGCGCGGCGAUCUCGGCUCCAUCAAUGACGCCGGCGAAGUUUGCGGGAGGAUUUCCAAACGAAUCCGAGAGAGAGAGAGAGAGGGAAAAGUGGGGGGAAAGAGGGAGGGAAUCACGGGGAGUGAUUUCCCCCUCUUUAUUGCGCGCGGGGACGGCGGGAUGCGGCGGAAUCCGCGGCGGCGGCGGCGCUAGGGCACGGGCGAGGCGGCGGGCGCGGCGCGAGGUAGGGGAUGACGGGUGGGCCCCACCCGUCAGCGAGGGUGGCGGGCGGGCCCGCCCGUCAGCGGCGCGCGCGCGGGGAGAGGCCGAGUGGGCCGCGGGGAGGAGGAGAGAGAGGGAGGGAGAUGGGCCGAGCCGGCCCAAGAGGGGGAAGGGGGGGAAAAAGACUUUUUAGAGCUUUUCUUUUUAUAAAACCAUUUUAACUUUGUUUAUUUCUUCUUAAUUAUUAUUUGUGCUGUGAAAAUUCCACUAAAAUUUGAGGGCUCCUUUUAGACCAAGGAGAAUUUAACAAAAAUUCUCCGGGCCACAUUUGAAUUUUUCUUGUACGUAUUUUAGUGUUUGCCAAUUUCUUUUCAAAUUUUAAUUAAUUCUAUUAUUCCUUUUGGCGAAUGAUUUUUAAUUUUGGGAUGAAUUUAUCAGGACGUGACAAAUCCACCCCCCUUACAAGAAUCUCGUCCCCGAGAUUCGAGGAGGCUAGCAAGAAGAUAGGUUGGGCGGUCUUCUCUUCUUGGUUGACUUCUUCCGUCGCGUCUUCUAUAACAAACUUGCCUAGCAAAACUUCUCCACUCUGGACUGCUUGGCUCGAUCUCCUGUUAUAGAUGGAAUCUUCUCUUCACAUGACUUUUCCCUGGUUGCACCUCUAGCUGACUUCGACUGGCGGCGGCAUUGGAAGAUGGGGCUUCAGUUCCAGAACUUCUUAUAACUCAUAUCUUUGGAGUCACCCUCAUACAAGUUACCACUUCAUGUCAUGCGUCAACACUAGCUUGUCAUUACUAAGAUACCAUGCUUGUCAUCAUGAGAAUACCAUGCUUGUCAUUUACUUCUAACUUGCCACCAACUGCCUCAUAUUAGCUCUCCUGCUCUCCGGGUGCUAGCUACUUCUGCUAUUCGAUGCAAGGGUCGGUAACUUUGCCUUUGAAUUAUGCUUCCCAAGAGAACCAACUUAUCCCACUUGACAUACUUUGACGUCUUCCCAAAUGGCUUUAUUGCUGGAUUUGUUAUUGUCUAAUCAUUAUCCUGCCAAAUUUGAAGCUUCGUUGUUAGAUGUGAUUUUAAUCUGACCUCUGUAGACUAUCUUCGAACAUAUCACUUGGUUCAUAACUGGGAAUAGCUCCCACGAACAAGCAACUCGGAUUCACUUUCUUUACAUUCAGUUUACUUCCCAUUAUUAUCUUCAGGUUGUCCUCAGUUAGCAUUCAACGUAUUCCUUUACACCUUUAACCUUGAUGUGUUCUUUCCCAUUGGAUCAUCUCCCAAGACAUGGCAUUGCCUGGUAACCGGUGCUUGCACUUUUCACUCCGUGUAGCAUCUGAUACCGAGUUGAAGAUUUCAAUCUUUGCCUUCAUAGAAACACUUUUACCUAGGUCAUCUUGCUUACUUAAUGACAAGGUGACAGUUGCGGGGCAAUUACAAUUAGGGGUCUUCCUUGAGCGAUGCAGAGCAUGUUUCUGUUUAUCAAUCACCUUUCGGCCUACUUCUUUCAUGCUAGAGAACAUCUUUGCCAAUCUCUUUUAUCAAUCUUCUUUCGGCUUAUCUCUAACAGGUGGUAUUCUUUAAUGUGGAUUGCGGACGCUUCUGGGGACGAUGAGGUCCUUUGGCUUGCUGCCUUUCAGUGAAACCUUGAUGUGGUUUGUCAAAAAGCUGCACUGACUACCUUCAGGGAAAUACAUUGCUUGCUAUCUAUAUCUAUGCCACUAGGGUUUAAUUGCCGAUGAUCAUCUUUAGUGCUUCCUCGAGAUGGGGAGCAUCCAAAUUGUUCUUCUGCCAUAUCACCUUUGACCCUUUUCUGAUACCUGAUAGACUAAUUACCAACCAUCGACUACUAUGUUCUCAAAUAUUGAUGUCUCCUGGAUCUUCUUAACUGUUUGUAGGUAUAUCCGAACUUAUCAAUGUAGAGGCAUGGCGGGUACCCUUAUGGGUUUCAUCCAACAAUCCUUAUCUUGAUCUGUAAAAGGCGUAUCCAAACUCCUAUCCCCAACUACUGUCUCAUUGGCUUUUUAACCCAACACAGUUUAAUUGGUUUUCUUUUCCAUCAACAGGUUGGUUAUUAACUCGAGGUUAGAACAUAGUUCCUCUGAAAUGAGACCCUAGGUCUCCUUUAUCAGCAAGCAAUUAUACACAUAAUCACAUAUCCGCAUCUUCCAAAAGAAUCCUCAUAGAACUUGUCUGUAAGCACCUUUCCUUUUAGGCAGUGCUUAGCAUCGGUACAUUGUUUCUGCUAUGGGUUCUGAUUAACACGAGGCCUCACGGGUACGGCGUUUGCUCCAGUGACCACAAUACGAUUGGGAUGUCUGCUUUGUGUAAAUUGGCGGUAAUGUGGAGGUCGACUUUGCCUUGGUUGCAGGCAGUCCCUCGAGUAAUGCCCUGUUUCUUUGCAAUUGUAGCAAAUCAACGUCUUCUUUGCUGAGCUAUCCGUCUGGGGACGGUCAUUCUGACUUGGAGUUGGAAUUGGUGGCUAGAAAUCCUUGCUAACAUUGGCAUCAGUGGUACCAUAGUUGCUAUCACCAUCGGAGUCUUUCCCAGAGUCCCAAUUGCUAGGGUUGUCAUUUUGGGUGCCAUCAUUGAUACUAUCGUCGACAUCUUGGUGAAUGAUGUUGACAUUGCACGCUUGAUUCGAGUGGUCACUAUUGGGGCAAGAAGCAUGGUUGUUGGUGGUAACAUCAUCAUCAUUAGUAUUGCUAAUGUUGUUGUCUGCAUUGUGUCCAUCUUCUUGGGGCGGAAACUCUUGAUGCGCAACAGAAGAUCCGGUGAUCUGAAGUGGCUCAGUGCGCUGUCCUUGGUUACCACAUGGAAAUACUGGGAUGUUGACCAUCCUUCUCUUGCAGUUCGUCAUCCGAUUAUGCUCACUUUCAAGUUGCAUGGCUUUGUCCACAAGUUUCUCAAAAUCUUCAAAAUCCUCUAGGAGUAGUUGCACUGCAAGCUCAUCUUUUAACCCCUGGAGAAACUUCUCUUGUUUGUCUUCAUCCGUUUCCACAUCUUCUGGUGCAUAGUGAGCCAAACGAUAGAACUCGUGCAGGUACUCUGUGACGGUCAAAUCUCCUUGCUUCAGGUAGCGAAACUCUCGUUUUCUUAGCGUGAUCAUUCCUGCGGGAACAUGUGAUCUCUUGAAUACAGAUGAAAACUCGUUCCAGGUGAUGGUAUGUCCUUCUGGCUGUGAUGCUUCGUAGCUAUCCCACCACUCUGAAGCCGGUCCAACCAACUGAUGAGUUGCGAAGCCAACCCGCUCCUGGUCGGUGCACUGAAUCAACCCUAGCUUCUUCUCGACUGUGCGCAACCAAUCACUGGCUUCCAUAGGAUCGACGGCAAUGGCAAAGGUUGGAGGCUCAGUUUUGAGAAAUUCUGAUAACUUGCACUGUUGCUGGACUGUGGGUACUUGAACGUUGGUUGCCCCUGCUGGGUUGUUCCAAUUCUGUAAUAGUUGAAAGGCUGUUGCCAACAUGUUGGUUUGGUUAACCACAAUUUGGAUUAGCUCUGGUGAGGUUUCGUUGAUGCUUUUCUCAUUCCCAUUGGCUUGGGUUCUUGAGUCAUCGGAUCCAUCAUUCCCAUAGCCUUUGUUACCAGUGUUAUCCAUCUGUCACAAGGUAGAGGUUGAGAGGGGAAGCAUACAAGGAAAGAAUCGACCAGAACUAGGGACAAGACCUUAAAGGAACUAACUCUUUUUGUUGAUGUGUUGUUUGUUUUGCUUAUUCUGCAGGUUGAUUAAGCAAACAACCUAGCAUGGUUACAUCACAACCCACCGAUGCAAACCACGCGCUACACACACAAGCAAGGAAACACAUGACAAACGAAACACUAGAGGGUGGCUUAGGUUCUGCGACGGGUUCUCCAAGAUCUUCACUCCUGCUUCACAGCUGGCUUCACUGCUUCCCUCACUUCACUAGCGGAUCCUGCAGCCUUCUGGAGCUUCGGCAGACAAUUGACGACAUCUUCUUCUUUGCAAAACUAACCAUCUAGUACUAGUGGAAAAUCCGAAGGAGGAAGAAAAGAGAAUAAACAUUUUGCAAAUAGCACAGGGGAAAGGAGGAAAAAGGGACUUUCGCAAAUAGUUUCAUUUAUAAAAUAUGUCCUUAGGUUUUAUCCAUUUGGCUUAUCCUACAGUCGAGAUGGCUCUGAUACCAGCCUGUCGCGACCGAGAAAAAUACAUUUUCCCGAACGCUAGUGUAUUAAUCCCCGUCCCAGGAAAAGCCGGGGUACACCACACAAACAUGAUAUAAAAGACACAUCUUUAUUAUAUCGAUAAUAUUUACAUUAUUACAAAGGCGCUUCAGGCCUGGCAAUCAAAAAUAUACAGCAGCGGACUAGCGGGCCUACGGCUCCAUCUUCACAGGCGCUCAACUGGGGUAUAAGCCAGGACUCCACCUAAGACAUCUUCUCGAAAGCUUCUCUUACUGAAGAGGGGAAAGAUUGAGCAAGAAUGAGUACAACCACAGUACUCAGCAAGCCACACCGGCAGAUGCAUGAUUAAUGCAAGGGGGUACAAGGGGUAAUAAUAUAGGGGUUAAGCUUUGCAGAAAACAGCAUUUAAAAGUCACUUAGUUGCCCAAAGCCAUUUUAUAAAGACGACCCUAGAGCUACACAAAAUUAUUAAUCAAGGCCGUGAACCCUCACGAACCUGCCUUAACCCAAGGCCUACGAUGAUUCAGACCGAACUGGCAACCCGACCCUGGGUCCCAGCUCAUCCCAAGCCAACCCAGGCCAACCAUUCCACAUUUUAGUUGUUGAGCAAAUUUUAAGAAUUAAAACACUAACUUGGGUACAUUGCUCGGCUUGCCCAUAACCGAGGGCGCGGCUAUUCGAAUAGAUUAUACUCUGAUCAGAGGUGUACAUCUUUACCCACAAGACACAUCUUCCUCACGUGUAACCACGUGCCACAUACCACCACGGUAUACGGAUGGAAGACGUGACAUAGUUUCCAACCCAUCCUAGCCAUAGACAAGAGUACCGACCCAACCCCACCUACGGCCGGAACCUCCGGGACAGGUAGGCAGGAUUGAGCCCCUAGCAGCAGGACACCAGCCCUGUGCCAUGACAUCUCGACUACCGGGCUGCAGCUCGUGUAGCCUUCAUUUGUCCUAGAGAUGUCCAUCGACCCCCGACUUCGUCCAUCUCCAUCCGUGUACUUUUGUUUAUAACCAGACUGAGCCACAAACUAAGCCUUACCCACUAGACAUGUGGAAGUACGGUAGUGCUUUGCAACAGAGGCCCGAGCUUAAUCCUUAUAGUACCCGAGGUACGACUAACAAAACCCAACCACGCACCUCGAGCCCAGCCUAAAACCAUUUUGGGGGUUUUGAAUAGAGGGGGAGGUGUGUGUCCAAUUCCAACAUAAGCCAACCAUUCCAUAGUGUCCAAAUGAUAUGAGAAUUCCCAAAGUCUAAAGUUAUAAAACCACCUAAUGUUGCCUAAUUAACCAGCAAAGCAUCUACCUAAGUUCAUACUAGUGGAACCAUGAAUAGAGUACCCACUAGUUGGGGUUUUAUUUUCCUAGGGUGAACAAGUUAAUAAUAACAAUAGCAAUAAUAAUGUCUUAACAAAGGUAAAUAGGCAUGGCUAAAUAAAACAGUGAUAACGCAGGAAUUUAAAUAAAGCGAUAAUGCAUUAAUUUAAAUCAAAAUAAUUUUAUAAACUGGGAUUCAAUAUGUUCAAGGAUGAUGUGACUUGCCUUGCUCGCUUUCCCAAACGCCGGCUUCAACUUCCACGAAGAGCGGAUCUUCCGAAGCUGCAGCGUCUACACGACCGACGGAAAAGAAAAGGCUUUUACACUAAUAAACUCCAUAUAACAAGCAGAAACAAAGCACAAAAAUGGGUUCUUGACUCCUUAAGGAAAAAUUAGAGACUUGAACGGUCCAAUUCCGAGUUCAAAUGGCCAAGUUAUGGCCAUUUGAAGUUUAUAUGCUCUUUAAAUGGAUAUUUACGAAUUUCUUCAUUUAAAUUUUAAUUUAAAAUCGGAUUUAUUGCGUCAGCCGAGGGGAGGGGCGCGCGGACCGGGUCCACGGGAGUGGGGCCCACGCGGCAGCCUCACGGUCCACGGUGGACCGGGUGCACGCGGCUUGCGCCGGCCGGCGCCGUGGGUCCCACGCGUCAGCCGUACCCGCGGGCGCGGGCGGCUGACGGCCGGGCCCCACAUGGCAGCCGCAGGGCGCGCCCGAAGGUGGCCUCGCCGGCACAGCCGACGGGAGGCGACGCGCCCGCGCCCCUAUGGUCGCCGGCGGCGACCUCCGGCGCGACGGAGCGGCGCCCGAGAGAGGGGAGGGAAGGGGGAAGCGAAAUGGCGGUCCUCGGCUCACCCCGGGUCGACGGCGACGACGGGAACGGCGACCGAAGCGGAGAGAGGCGGCGGCGCGGCUCGGGUCGACGAGGACGGCGGCGUUCUGGCGGUCGGCGGGCGAAACGAAGGGGUGGACGAAGUCGACGGGGACGCGGCGAAGCCGAAGGAGGCGAUGCCGAAGCGGGAGGAGGUCCGGGGCGACGACGGCGGCGAACCGAAGCUCAGCGGCGACGGCGGAGAGAGAGGACGACGGCGCGAGCUCGAUUCCGACGGGGAGAGAAAGCGGCAAGGGUCGGAAACGGAGGAGGGAGGCACGGGGAGUGCUUAAAUAGUGUUGGGAGUGAGAGAGGGCGGCCGGAGGGGAAGGAAACCGGCGCGGCGAUCUCGGCUCCAUCAAUGACGCCGGCGAAGUUUGCGGGAGGAUUUCCAAACGAAUCCGAGAGAGAGAGAGGGAAAAGUGGGGGGAAAGAGGGAGGGAAUCACGGGGAGUGAUUUCCCCCUCUUUAUUGCGCGCGCGGGCGGCGGGAUGCGGCGGAAUCCGCGGCGGCGGCGGCGCUAGGGCACGGGCGAGGCGGCGGGCGCGGCGCGAGGUAGGGGAUGACGGGUGGGCCCCACCCGUCAGCGAGGGUGGCGGGCGGGCCCGCCCGUCAGCGGCGCGCGCGCGGGGAGAGGCCGAGUGGGCCGCGGGGAGGAGAAGAGAGAGGGAGGGAGAUGGGCCGAGCCGGCCCAAGAGGGGGAAGGGGGGGAAAAAGACUUUUUAGAGCUUUUCUUUUUAUAAAACCAUUUUAACUUUGUUUAUUUCUUCUUAAUUAUUAUUUGUGCUCUGAAAAUUCCACUAAAAUUUGAGGGCUCCUUUUAGACCAAGGAGAAUUUAACAAAAAUUCUCCGGGCCACAUUUGAAUUUUUCUUGUACGUAUUUUAGUGUUUGCCAAUUUCUUUUCGAAUUUUAAUUAAUUCUAUUAUUCCUUUUGGCGAAUGAUUUUUAAUUUUGGGAUGAAUUUAUCAGGACGUGACAGCCGCUCUCUCUCUCCGCCGGAAUCGAGCUCGCGCCGUCGCUCUCUCUCUCCGCCGUCACCGCCGAGCUCCGGUCCGUCGCCGUCGUCGCCUCGGACCUUCUCCCGCCUCGGCGUCGCCUCCUUCGGCUCCGCCGCGUCCUCGCCGACCUCGUCCACCCCUCCGUUUCGCCCGCCGACCACCGGAACGCCGCCGUCCCCGUCGACCCGUGCCACGCCGCCGCCUUCUUCCGCUCCGGUCGCCGUUCCCGUCGUCGUCGUCGACCCGGGGUGAGCCGUGGACCGCCCAUUUCAUUUCCCCCUUCCCUCCCCUCUCUCGGCCGCCGCUCCGCCGUGCCUAUUGCCGCCACCGGCGACCAUAGGGGCGCGGGCGCGUCGCCUCCCGUCGGCUGUGCCUGCGAGGCCGCCUUCGGGCGCGCCCCGCGGCUGCCAUGUGGGGCCCGGCCGUCAGCCGCCCGCGCCCUCGGGUGCGGCUAACGCGUGGGACCCACGGCGCCGGCCGGCGUAAGCCGCGUGCACCCGGUCCACCGUGGACCGAGAGGCUGCCGCGUGGGCCCCACUCCCGUGGACCCGGUCCGCGCGCUCCUCUCUCCCGGCUGACGCAAUAAAUAUGUUUUUAAAUUAAAAAUUAAAUGAAGAAAUUUGUAAAUAUCCAUUUAAAGAGCAUAUAAACUUCAAAUGGCCAUUACUUGGCCAUUUGAACUCGGAAUUGGACCGUUCAAGUCUCUAAUUUUUCCUUAAGAAGCCAAGAACUCAUUUUUGUGCUUUGUUUCUGCUUGUUAUAUGGAGUUUAGUAGAGUAAAAGCCGUUUCUUUUCCGUUGGUCGUGUAGACGCUGCAGCUUCGGAAGAUCCGCUCUUCGUGGAGGUUGAAGCCGACGUUUGGGAAAGCGAGCAAGGCAAGUCACAUCAUCUUUGAACAUAUUGAAUCCCAGUUUGUAAAAUUAUGUUGAUUUAACUUAUUGCAUUAUCGCUUUAUUUAAAUUCCCUCAUUAUCACUGUUUUAUUUAGCCAUGCCUAUUUACCUUUGUUAUGACCUUAUUAUUAUUGUUAUUGUUAUUACUUUCUUGCUCACCCUAGAAUAAACAAAACCCCAACUAGUGGACACUCUACUCAUGGUAUCACUAGUAUGAUUUUAGGUAGAUGCUUCGCUUUUAAUUAUGUAACAUUAGGCGGUUUUACAACUCUAGACUUUGGGGAAUAUUCAUAUCACCUGGACACCAUGGAAUGGUUUGGUUAUUGUGGAAUUGGCUUCACACCGCUCCUUCUAUUCAAAAUCCCCAAAAAUGGUUUUAGGCUGGGCUCGGGGUGCAUGGUUUUGAUAGUAGCACCUCGGCCAUAUAAGGACCGGUCUUCGGGCCUCUGUUGCAAAGCACUACCGUACUUCCACAUGUCUAGUGGGUAAGGCUUAGUUUGUGGCUCAGUCUAGUUAUAAACAAAAGUACACGGAUGGAGAUGGAAGAAGUCGGGGGUCGAUGGACAUCUCUAGGACAAAUGAAAGCUACACGAGCUGCGGCCCGGUAGUCGAGAUGUCGUGGCACAGGGCAGGUGUCCUGCUGCUAGGGGCUCAGUCCUGCCUGCCUGUCCCGGGGGUUCCGGCCGUAGGUGGGAUUGGGUCGGUACUUUUGUCUAUGGCUAGGAUGGGUUGGAAACUAUGUCACGUCUUUCGUCUAUAUACUGUGGUGGUAUGUGGCACGUGGUUACACGUGAGGAAGAUGUGUCUUGUGGGUAAAGAUGUACACCUCUGAUCAGAGUAUAAUCUAUUCGAAUAGCCGCGCCCUCGGUUAUGGGCAAGCCGAGCAAUGUACCCAAGUUAGUGUUUUAAUUCUUAAAACCUGCCUAACAACUAAAAUGUGGAAUGGUUGGCCUGGGUUGGCUUGGGACGAGCUGGGACCCAGGGUCGGGUUGCCAGUUCGGUCUGAAUCAUCGUAGGCCUUGGGUUAAGGCAGGUUCGUGUGGGUUCACGGCCUUGAUAAAUAAUAUUGUAUAGUACUAGAAUCAUGUUUGCAAAAUAGCCCUGAGCAACUAAUGUCUUUAAAUGCUGUUUACUGCAACCCUAACCCUUUAUAGUAUAACUCCUUUGUACUCCCUUGCAUUUAUUCUGCACUUGUGGGUGUGUCUUGUUGAGUACGGUGGUUGUACUCAGUCUUGCUCAAUUUUUCCCAAACCCAGAAGAGGAGUUCCUGGAGGAUGAAGGCUUUGGUGUCUAGCUCGUGCCUGCCGUCAAGUGCCUGUGGUCGUCGCCCUAGUCUUCCGCUGUUUCUCGUUUGUCUUUGUGUGUGCUGGGCCUUCGCUGCCCAUGUAAUAAAUUAACUAUUUACGCUUCCGCUUGUUAAACUCUGAAUUGUAUCAACUUUUGGUGUACCUUGCCUCCUGGGACAAGGAUUAAUGCACGCACGUAAGGAACGCCCGUUGGGUUAUUUCCGGUCGUGACACAGGUGAUCAGCCAAGACCGACAUUCAUUAGCAAAAAUUUGUCUUCAGAGUUUAGAACCAAGCUGAUAGAGCUCCUAAAAGAGUUUAGAGAUUGCUUCGCUUGGGAAUAUUAUGAAAUGCCUGGACUCAGCCGAUCGAUCGUCGAACAUCGGCUACCUAUCAAACCGGGAGUUAGACCACGUCAGCAACCUCCGAGGAGAUGCAAAGCUGAUAUGCUUGAACCUGUUAAGGCUGAAAUUAAACGAUUGUAUGAUGCUGGUUUUAUUCAUCCCUACCGAUAUGCUGAAUGGGUUUCUAGCAUAGUUCCAGUUAUUAAAAAGAAUGGCAAGGUUAGGGUGUGCAUUGAUUUUCGAGAUUUGAAUAAAGCGACACCGAAGGACGAAUAUCCAAUGCCGGUAGCCGAUCAGCUGUUUGAUGCCGCGUCAGGGAACAAGAUUUUGAGUUUUAUGGAUAGGAACACAGGUUAUAACCAGAUCUUUAUGGCUGAGGAGGAUAUCCAUAAAACGGCUUUUAGGUGUCCUAGUGCCAUUGGCUUAUUUGAAUGGGUUGUCAUGACUUUCGACUUAAAGAGUGCUGGAGCAACAUAUCAAAGGGCCAUGAACUAUAUAUAUCAUGAUUUAAUCGGCUCGUUGGUCGAAGUUGAUAUUGACGAUGUGGUUGUUAAAUCCAAAGAAGUUGAUGAUCACAUAGCCGAUUUAAGAAAAGUUUUCGAGAGAACCAGGAAGUAUGGCUUGAAGAUGAAUCCGACAAAAUGUGCUUUUGGCGUAUCGGCUAGACAGUUUUUGGGAUUUCUUGUUCAUGAAAGAGGGAUUGAGGUAACCCAAAGGAGCGUUAAUGCAAUCCAGAAAAUUAAGCCCCCUGAAAAUAAGACUGAGCUACAAGAGAUGAUCGGCAAGAUAAAUUUUGUUAGGAGGUUUAUCUCUAAUUUAUCUGGAAGGUUGGAACCUUUUACACCUUUAUUGAGGUUAAAAGCCGAUCAACAAUUCACUUGGGGGGCAGAGCAACAAAAAGCUUUGGACAAUAUCAAGGAGUAUCUCAGUUCUCCUCCUGUUUUGAUUCCCCCACAGAAAGGAAUACCGUUUAGGUUGUAUUUAUCGGCUGGUGAGAAGUCAAACGGCUCAGUUCUGAUUCAAGAAUUGGAAGGGAAGGAGCGAGUUGUGUUUUAUAUUAGUCGACGGCUCUUGGAUGCUGAGACUCGGUAUUCCCCUAUGGAGAAGUUAUGCUUGUGCCUUUAUUUUUUGUGUACGAGGUUGAGGCAUUAUCUAUUAUCUAAUGAGUGCACUGUUAUAUGCAAAGCCGAUGUAGUCAGAUACAUGCUGUCGGCUCCAAUAUUAAAGGGACAAAUUGGAAAUUGGAUAUUUUCUUUGACUGAGUUUGAUCUUCGGUAUGAAUCACCGAAGGCGAUUAAGGGACAAGCUAUAGCCGAUUUUAUUGUGGAACAUCGUGAUGAUUCAAUCGGCUCAGUUGAAAUAGUGCCAUGGACUUUAUUCUUUGAUGGAUCGGUCUGCACUCAUGGUUGUGGCAUCGGCUUAGUUAUAAUUUCCCCUAGGGGGGCAUGUUUUGAGUUUGCUUAUACUAUUAAAUCAUAUGCGACUAAUAAUCAGGCUGAAUAUGAAGCAGUGCUUAAGGGGUUGCAAUUACUUAAGGAAGUUGAAGCCAAUAUUAUUGAAAUCAUGGGAGAUUCUUUGCUAGUAAUCAGCCAGUUGGCGGGCGAAUAUGAAUGCAAGAGUGAUACAUUUAUAGUUUAUAAUGAGAAGUGCCUGGAAUUAAUGAAAGAAUUUCGGCUGGUUACUUUGAAGCAUGUAUCUCGAGAACAAAAUCUUGAAGCUAAUGAUUUGGCUCAAGGGGCGUCGGGGUAUAAGCCGAUGAUCAAAGAUGUUAAGGUUGAAAUUGCGGCAAUGUCAGCCGAUGACUGGAGGUAUGAUGUGCAUCAGUAUUUGAGCAAUCCAUCUCAAUCGGCUUCCAGAAAAUUACGAUAUAAGGCAUUGAAGUAUACGUUGCUGGGUGAUGAGCUCUAUUAUCGGGUGAUUGAUGGGGUAUUACUUAAGUGCUUGAGUGCCGAUCAGGCUAAGGUUGCAAUCGGUGAAGUUCAUGAGGGGAUUUGUGGUACUCAUCAAUCGGCUCACAAGAUGAAGUGGUUGCUUCGACGUACAGGAUACUUUUGGCCGACGAUGUUGGAGGUUUAUUUCCGAUAUUAUAAGGGUUGUCAAGAUUGUCAGAAGUUUGGAGCAAUUCAACGCGCACCGGCGUCGGCUAUGAAUCCUAUAAUUAAACCAUGGCCAUUCAGAGGUUGGGAAAUUGAUAUGAUCGGCAUGAUAAACCCACCAUCAAGUAAAGGACAUAAAUUUAUAUUGGUGGCGACCGAUUAUUUCACCAAAUGGGUAGAGGCAAUUCCUUUGAAGAAAGUUGAUUCGGGGGAUGCUAUUCAGUUUGUUCAAGAGCAUAUAAUCUAUCAAUUUGGUCUUCCUCAAACUAUUACUAUGGAUCAGGGUUCAAUAUUCAUGUCCGAUUAGUUUGUUCAGUUUGCCGAUAGCGUGGGUAUCAAGUUGUUGAAUUCUUCACCUUAUUAUGCACAAGCUAAUGGGCAAGCCGAGGCAUCUAAUAAGAGUUUGAUUAAGUUGAUCAAGCGGAAGAUUUCCGAUUAUCCUCGGUAGUGGCACACUCGAUUGGCCGAAGCAUUAUGGUCUUAUAGGAUGGCUUGUCAUGGAUCGAUCCAAGUUCCCCCUUACAAACUUGUUUAUGGACAUGAGGCUAUUUUGCCAUGGGAAGUUAGAAUCGGCUCUCGACGAACGGAGUUGCAGAAUGAUUUGACAGCCGAUGAGUAUUACAAUCUUAAGGCCGAUGAGAGGGAGGAUUUGGUUCAGUCACGAUUGCGAGCCCUUGCGAAAGUUACUAAGGAUAAGGAACGUGUUUCUCGGCAUUAUAAUAAGAAAGUUGUGCCUAAGGAUUUUUCAGAGGGCGAACUUGUAUGGAAGUUGAUUUUGCCGAUUAGUACUCAUGAUAGUAAAUUCGGCAAGUGGUCGCCGAAUUGGGAAGGACCGUUCCAGAUUCAUAAAGUUGUUUCUAAGGGAGCAUAUAUGUUGCAAGGGCUUGAUGGAGAAGUUUAUGGACGAGCGCUUAAUGGUAAAUACUUGAAGAAAUAUUAUCCGAGUGUAUGGAUUAAUUCAUGAUCGGCUCCUAAUGUCGAUACAUGAUAGCCGAUGUGUUUACAUCGCCUUGCGAUGGCCGAUAUUGCUAUAUUGCCCUUAGUUGUUUUCUAACGUAAUCGGUGGAGGUUUGCCGAUUUACAAUGGCCGAUAUUGCUAUAUCGCCCUUAGUUGUUUUAUAGUUUUAUCAAUUCUAUUGACAUUGUAAAACUAGGGGGGGCAUAUAUCUGUUAAAAUGCAGUAAAUAUAGUGCAAAUUUUUUUGAGCAAAUCUCACAGUCAUAUUAAUCGGCACAGAAGGAUGUUAAGUGAUAAAGUAUCAGAAUGUUUAGCUGAUUACAAAAGUUCUAAGUCCUAUUACAUUAAGAUUACUGUGAUAAGUAUUGCUGGAUAGCCGAUAUAGCUUUCUGCCUAAUAUGCUCUACUUCCUCUAUGGCUUGAGCAUCUUGAGCAUCGGUUCCAGGAAUAACUUUUAAGGACUUGGUCAGUUCAGCAACAUGCUUAAUAGCCGAUUUAAGCCUGGCUUUCCGCUCUUCAAUGGACUUGGGGAGAUCGGCUAGCUUCUUGCGUUCUAUAUCCAGCUCGGCGUUGCAUUCUUCAAGUUGUGCUAAGAGAUCAAUCUUGCGAGCUUCAAGCCGAUCAAUGUUAGAUUUGAUUGGACCUUCAGAUAAUUGAUCAAGCUUGGAUUUUUCUUCAUGCACAAGUUGACGGUUGGCUUGGAUAGUGGCCUCAAUGUCCUUGCGUUCUCGUCUUUUGGCUAAUCUUAAUUUGGCUUUUUCCAGAUUGAAUUGGUGCUGCUCAAGAUAAACAGCUGGAGUAAGGAUGUCGGCUAACUCAUCUGGGAUUAAAGCUUGAAUUUCAUGUAAUCGAGCCCUGAUCUAGCCACAGUUAACUACUAAGCUGUCUAGCGAUGAUGCCUCUAGCCGAUCUGAAAUACUUUCUAGAGUCUUCUUUAGAUCAUCAGAUAGAGGGGCCAGUGCUUUGCUUGUAGUAUCUUCUUCUCCUUCGUCCAGAUAAUCUCUGAUAUCAAAAGAGAAAAGAUCGGCUAGGACCUGCGGUGAUAGUAUGAAAGCAGUUAGAGGUUAAACAAUUGUAGCCGAUUUGGAUGCUUAUUAGGAGAAACUUACUGGGAUAGCAGGAGCGGCUGGUUGUUCUUCUUCCUCAACAUGAUGACUUCCUACAGUUGAAGGGGUCUGGUCACUUGACGAUUGUUGAGCAGAAGGAGAAGGAGGAGGUGAAGGCUGAAAAGAAUGCAAGUGUUAAGUAGAAUCGGCUAAAAGUUGACCAUUGAAAGUUAAAAUGAUCUUACUGGUGGAGCUGGUUUAGAUGUUGUUGCAGCCGAUUUCUUUUUCACCGCUGUCUUCUUUUUCUGUAAUCGUAAGACUUGGGAAUGAUCAGCUAUAAGGCAAAAGAAUUAUGAAGAGAAUUAGUGGGGAGCACUUACCCUUGAGAAGUGGACUGGAGCAGACGCAGUUGGAAGGGUUUGCUUAGGCGAGGCCGAUGGUGUCUUUUCAUUAUCGCUCACUUCGGCUGCAGCCUGAUCGACUUCGUCUCCGAUUAUCUCUUCAUCUAAGGCUUGUUCAAUAGAUGGAUCCAAGUCGGGUAGAUCAUCGGCUGGCUUGUCAGUUGGUUUGGCUCUCUUGACCUUGGUCUUUUUCUUUGGAGCCAAGAUUGAGGUGCUCAUGGCUGAGGAUCUGGUUUUCCUUUUUUGGCCUGCAUCGGCUGGUUCUCUAGUGAGGCCGUGAAGGAGAGUUGAGGUCUUGGGGGCAUGGUAGCCGAUAACAGGGGGAGAUAGUCCACCUCCAUUUGGAAUUAAGCCUGCAGCAUAUUCAAUAUCUUUACCACUAUUACUUUGAUGAGGAGGAGAUGAUUCUGUUGUCUGCAAAGUAAGGAAAAGAAAUUGGUUAAGUAAUAAAUCGAGCAAUUGAUUAUGCAAUUCGAUAAUGACAAUGUUUACCUGGGGUAUGACGUCGGGGAAUAGAUCUGUCAUAUACAUCGUGGCCGAUUGGUGAAAUAGAUGUAGCUUCCACUCACCCCACCAUCUGUCAAAGUUCUUGCUUCUGAAACCGGCCAACUCAAUAUUCUCAAUGCUGCCCAGAGGAGGUCCCGGUAGAUUGAGCAGCCAAUCCAUCAUUAGAGCAGAUGUAAUUUGGCCUCGGCAUUGAAUCUUGUCGGCAAAGAAUAGGCCGAUCGGAAGUUGGCCCAAUCCGAGUUGCCUAGCUGAGCUCAUUGGAUGAUAAAAUUCAUAGGACACUUGGAUGUUUCUUCCUUGGUGAAUGCCGACGGGAAGGAUGCAAGGGCUGAUUGCGGCUAUAAGGACUUCUCUGGAUUUCUGGAAUUUCUCAUGAUUUAUGUCUUCGAAUCUGAAAUCUGAUGGAAGUUCGAGGUCUGUUGAAUCUUCAUAAGGGAACCAGAUCCGAGCAUCUUUCUUGAAGCCUUCAUAGAAGCUGUAGAACCAGUCCUUAAGCAGUUCAGCCGAUAGCUUUGCUCCAGCAUCGGUUGGUGUGGAUGCAUAUUCCCCAUAUGAUGUGCACCUGCGAUGAGUACGUUCUUCUCCAUCAUCACCAACAAUCGGCUCUGGCAGUGGGAACUCAGCUUCUGUCACAGGAGGCCGAUUGACAACUUUCAUAACCAUCAGAUUUAACCAGGUUUGCAGUAACCACCAGGGUCCACCUGCUCCAACUGCUGAGCCGACGGCGAUUCUAGCCGAUGCGUUGUUUAACAUCUGGUACAAAUAGCCGAGAAGAAUUUUUCCCAAGGGGAAUUCUUUCUUUGACUCCAGGGCUUCGGCUACGAACUGCCAGUUGGUUGUAGGGCCGCAACUGGAUCCACAGAAAAGGAACUUUUCUAGCCACAUGAGCAAAAAGGCUACAUGCUCUCGGGGGGUAACGGAUCCUUGACCCAUGUAUGCUGCUACAUAGCCGGACCAGCCACCUAUGCUCUUGGUCUUGAAAUCAAAUUGGUUCCGGGUGUUCAUGCUCAUGGGGUUGGCCGAUGAAGUUACAUCUAAUCCAGUGAUCAUAGUGAUAUCGAUUAGGGUUGGAGUCAUCGGCCCCUGAUUAAACAGGAAAGCAUUGAUGGUGUUUGACCAAAAAUAAGUGGCAGCAGCCAUCAGGGGUUCGUCUUUGGCAGAAUUGGCUAUGGUUAGGGCGAGUGCUUGGCUGAUUCCGAUCUCAUCCCAAUGAACUUUCUUGCUAGCCGAUACACGUUGAUACCAAGUGGACCAACUCCUGUCAGGUGAAAGUUUUUCGAGAGACGGCCAGGACUUGAAGGUGUUCUUCCAAUGACCUAGGUUGGGGUUGGCUAGCCUGAAAGGAAUCCGGUUGGUUUCACCAGUGAUAAAAUCGGUAGGGUCGAGAUUGCCGAUUGGGCCAAGGAAAUAGUGGUUUUGGUGUGAAAGACUUGGAAUUGCAACUUGGUGAGAAAGAUGCUAUGAAUCCAAAAGCAAUUGAAAAGAGAAAAGCAGCAUGAGACGAAAGAAAAUCAAUCUGUUGCUGAGAAAAGGGGAUUUAGCCGAUUAGAACUUACCUCGGCGUACUCAGCUAUUGGCGCACCCGAUGGGCUGGCGGAAGAAGACAUGGCCGCGGGCGGAGAUCUCAUCGAGAAGGGGAUUGCCUGGGAGUCACCUUUGCGUCGGUGAAAUCGCAGGAGAAGAAAGGGGAUUGAGUUUGCUUGAGCGGUGAAAACGGAAGUCACGGUGUGAGGUUUCUCGGGGGUGACGGUUAAUAUUUAAAGCAUGGCGGUAACGGUCGGAAAACGGUAAAGUGCGAAACUUGCUCGGAGUCGGCUUGCAGCAAAUCCGGAACAUUAUCGAAUAUCCCGGACUUAGGGGGCAUGUGUUAACAACCGAAUUUGGUAGCAUUUGGAUCAGGAAAGGGGAUUUGAUCAAAGAAGAGUUGGAGGCGGAGAUCGAGUUCUGGAACAGAGCAGGAAUCGGCUGGAGUCCGGAUCGGCUACGGCUAGGAUCGGCUGAGGUUGAGUUAAGCUAAAUUAGCUGAUAUAGCCAAUUCUGACAAUACAACUUGUGCGCGACGUCAGGCGCAGGUUGAUGUACUUCAAGAUGAUUGGCAUGCAUGGAUAGAGUCCUGGGAAGGCAAUUGUAUCUAUUAAUUAGGAUGUUUUAUGUAAAUUCCUUAUAGAUAAGUGUGGGCAAAAGUCUGCCGCAAAGACUUGUGAUAUUUUAGAGUUUGUUAGAGAUAAUGGUCGUGUCCGGUAUGGGCAUAUCUUGUAAUCCUCGGGUAUAAAUAGACCCCGAGCCCUAUGUAAUUUUAACACACACGUUCAAUACAAUUCCGGCGCAUCGCCAUCCUUUUGCUUUAAUUUUGUUUCGACGAGUUCUUGCUUUUGGGUUGAGCUGCAUCGGUUUUGAUCUUCAACAAGAGGUAAAAUUCGUUAUGACGGAUCGUGUUUUUAGGAUUAGUGCUUCCAUCUUCAUGACACUCUAAUCUUAUUUAUAUAAUUCGUCAAGUUAUCAUAUAUCUUACAUAAUCUUCAGCAAUAUCGUUAUCUAAUCUACUAUCGGCCAACAUCUGUAUGCAGAAGACAGCCGAUUAGGUUAGAUCUUGAUGUUGAUCCAGAUUAUAUAAGAUAUCUACCAUUCUAUGAAUCUUCUAACGGCUUGAUUGUCUAGAUAUUAUUCUUCUUUUCAUACUUAAUGCUGCAUCAAUUGAGUUUGAUCUAUUAAGUCGUGCUUAGAAUAUUGAUCUCUAGCCUGCCACCUAGUUGUCGAUUAGAAUAGCAUCGGAGUUUCAGCCGAUCGUAUCUGAUUUAACCACAAUAAUCCCUAUUUGCUUCGCUGUUAUGUUAAAUCUGCCCUUUAUAUCAAGACAUUGCUAUAUUCAAAUGUGGUAAACUAUUGUUCAAUAUACUAUUACUGCUUUAACAUCUUAAUAUAAAGUAGUAUCGGAGUAUUAGCCGAUACAUGCUAGACCUAUCUGAUCGGCUAUGCUAUAAACAUAUAUAAUCCUGUUAUGGAUGCAUAUUUCGAUCUAAGUGAUUUAUACUGUCUCGGCAUGAUGACCGAUCUAUCCUAAUCACCUGAUUUAAGUAAACAUCAACAUAAGGAUUAUAUGUCGUUAAUAUCUACAGCCGAUCAAGUAGAUUUAGUUUUUCCUUAGUCAUUCACGAUUGCCGAUCGAUACACAGAUGACAUCGGCUCGGAUAUAAAUGAUAUGUCAUCGGCAUCUGGCCGAUCGGCUAUCAUUUAUAAAUUUAACCACAGUUCCUUUGUCUUUAUUUCUUGUUGAUUGCUGGAUCAAAUCAGCUGGCACACUCACAUAUCUGAAUGCAAGUUUUGGACCUGCACUGGAGUUAAGCAGAUCUCCCAGGCCUCGUGUUUUCUGUCAACACCAAGCCACUCGGCAACUUGUGCAUGAGGAGAAAGUCAAGCUCGAUCAACUCUCUGUUGGGCCGAUUCAGUCAAACAUAGAUUGGCUUGAAGCCCGCAAGAUUGAUCUUAUAGCUCAACUCGAAGAAUGCAAUGCCGAGUUUGAUCUUGAAAAGCAAAAGCUAGCCGAUCUUCCAAGUGCUGUUGAAGAACAGAAGUCUAGGCUGAAAUCGGCCAUUAGAAAUGUUGCCGAUAUGACUAAAUCCUUAAAAGUCAUCCCUAGAACCGAUGCCCAAGAUGCCCAGGCAAUCGAAUGAGUAGAACAAAUCAGACAACGGGCUGUGUCGACUAUCCGGCGAUACUUAUCUCAGUGACUUUCCAUGUAAUAGGACUUAGGAAAAUUUUUGUAAUCGGCUAAGAAAUUCUGGUACUUCAUUUAUUGCUGAACUGAUGUGCCGAUUAAUAUAACUUCUCAUUUUGCCCAAAAAUUUGCAAAAAUUUGCAACUUUUGCAUGUAUAUGUGCCCCCCUAAUUUUGCAAUGAUAAAGGCAUUGAUAAAAUUAUAAUUUGGACUAAGGGCGAUAUAACCAUAUCGGCCAUUAUACAUCGGCAAAACACAACCGAUGACGAUAAUAAAACAACUAAGGGCGAUAUAACCAUAUCGGCCAUUGUACAUCGGCCAAACACAGCCGAUUACAAUAAUAAAAAUGACUAAGGACGAUAUAACCAUAUCGGCCAUCUCAAGGCGAUGUAAAUACAUUGGCUAUCAUGUAUCGGCAACACCAGCCGAUCAUGCAUUAACCCAAACACUUGGGUAAUAUUUCUUCAAGUAUUUGCCAUUGAGCGCUCGUCCAUAGACUUCUCCAUCAAGUCCUUGCAACAUAUAAGCCCCUUUGGAGGCAACCUUAUGAAUUUGAAACGGCCCUUCCCAAUUCAGUGACCACUUGCCGAACUUGUUAUCUCGAGUUCCUAUCGGCAAAAUCAAUUUCCACACAAGUUCACCUUUCGAAAAAGACUUGGUCACCACCUUUUUGUUGUAAUGUCGAGCAAUUCUCUCCUUAUCUUUGUUAACUUUUGCAAGGGCCCUCAAUCUUGAUUGAACCAAGUCCUCCCUCUCAUCGGCCAUGAUAUUGUAAUAUUCAUCGGCUGUAACCUCAUUUUGUAAGUCUAUCCUUCUUGAGCCAAUUCGAACUUCCCAUGGUAAAACAACCUAAUGUCCAUAAACAAGUUUAUAUGGAGGAACUUGAAUCGAACUGUCGCGACCGUGAAAAUUGCAUUUUCCCGAACGCUAGUGUAUUAAUCCCCGUCCCAGGAAAAGCCGGGGUACACCAUACAAACAUGAUAUAAAAGACACAUCUUUAUUAUAUCGAUAAUAUUUACAUUAUUACAAAGGCACUUAAGGCCUGACAAUCAAGAAUAAACAGCAGCGGACUAGCGGGCCUACGGCUCCAUCAUCACAGGCGCUUAACUGGAGUAUAAGCCAGGACUCCACCUAAGACUUCUUCUCCAAAGCUUCUCUUACUGAAUGGGGGAAAAGAUUGAGCAAGAAUGAGUACAACCACAGUACUCAGCAAGCCACACCAGCAGAUGCAUGAUUAAUGCAAGGGGGUACAAGGGGUAAUAAUAUAGGGGUUAAGUUUUGCAGUAAACAGCAUUUAAAAGUCACUUAGUUACCCAAAGCCAUUUUAUAAAGACGAUCCUAGAGCUACACAAAAUUAUUAAUCAAGGCCGUGAACCCUCACGAACCUGCCUUAACCCAAGGCCUACGAUGAUUCAGACCGAACUGGCAACCCGACCCUGGGUCCCAGCUCGUCCCAAGCCAACCCAGGCCAACCAUUCCACAUUUUAGUUGUUAAGCAAAUUUUAAGAUUUAAAACACUAACUUGGGUACAUUGCUUGGCUUGCCCAUAACCGAGGGCGCGGCUAUUCGAAUAGAUUAUACUCUGAUCAGAGGUGUACAUCUUUACCCACAAGACACAUCUUCCUCACGUGUAACCACGUGCCACAUACCACCAUGGUAUACGGACGGAAGACGUGACAUAGUUUCCAACCCAUCCUAGCCAUAGACAAGAGUACCGACCCAACCCCACCUACGGCCGGAACCUCCGGGACAGGUAGGCAGGAUUGAGCCCCUAGCAGCAGGACACCAGCCCUGUGCCAUGACAUCUCGACUACCGGGCCGCAGCUCGUGUAGCCUUCAUUUGUCCUAGAGAUGUCCAUCGACCCCCGACUUCGUCCAUCUCCAUCCGUGUACUUUUGUUUAUAACCAGACUGAGCCACAAACUAAGCCUUACCCACUAGACAUGUGGAAGUACGGUAGUGCUUUGCAACAGAGGCCCGAGCUUAAUCCUUAUAGUGGCCGGGGUGCUACUUCCCACAACUAGCAUGCACCCAAACCCCACCGAAAAACAGGUUUUAGGGGCUUUGAAAGAGGAAGAGAGGGGUAUGUCCAAUUCCACCAUAAUCCAACAAUUCCAUAAUGUCCAAAUGAUAUGAGAAUUCCCAAAGUCUAAAGUUAUAAAACCACCUAAUGUUGCCUAAUUAAUCAGCGAAGCAUCUACCUAAAUUCAUACUAGUGGAACCAUGAAUAGAGUACCCACUAGUUGGGGUUUUAUUUUCCUAGGGUGAACAAGAUAAUAAUAACAAUAGCAAUAAUAAGGUCAUAACAAAGGUAAAUAGGCAUGGCUAGAUAAAACAGUGAUAACGCGGGAAUUUAAAUAAAGCGAUAAUGCAAUAAUUUAAAUCAAAAUAAUUUUAUAAACUAGGAUUCAAUAUGUUCAAGGAUGAUGUGACUUGCCUUGCUCAGAGAGAACGGCCUUCCGAACCUUCGGCGACGACCACGAACCACGCUUCGGGAACCUCCGGAACGACGAAAGCUACGCGAAGCACACAAGCAAAGCUACAAGCCUAUAAAGAAGCAAUAACAACACAUAAAAAGAAAGCACACAGUUCUUUAGGUUAUAACAAACAUUAGGAGACUUGAACGGGUCGAUUCAGAGUUCGUAUGACCAAAAUAUGAUCAUCCGAAGUUUAAUGCUGUUAUAUGGAGAUUUGCGGAUUAUUAUAAUUAAGCUUUGCAAUUAUAAAACAUGUGUAAGUGCUAGCCUAGAAAAGACAGGAGGGCUGCGCCGUUGACAUACGGACCCCACAUGUCAACCUAAAGGACCGCGGUAGACCGAGUACACAGAGACGGUCCACGGGUCGACGGAAGCAGAUCCCGUGUGUCAACCGAGGCGAGUGGCCGACAAACGGACUCCACUAGACACCACACGGGCUGCACACGUAGAAACCACGCGGCUACCGAGCGGGCACACUAACACGGUCACCACACGCACAAGCGAACGACUACCGACACCGGUACACGGGUACCGGGGUCGACAACCGCACAACGAGCACGGGCGACACCGAAAGGACGAAGACGGGGCAGCGAGGGAGAGGGAUCCUUACCACCACGCGACGAGGCGUGGGAACGACAACGACGACCGGGCGCGGCGGAGGCGGCCGGGAACGACGGAGACGAACGGCGAGGGGACGACUUCGGCGGCGAUCCUUGGACGAAGGCGAGACGCGGCCGGCACGAGGCUUGACGACGCGGAGGCGUGGACGAAGACGAUGACGGGGGCUGCAGCGACCUUGACGAAACACCGAGGACGGACGAGAACGGCUCGACGGAGGGACGAACGCCCCGACGACCGGGAACGACGAGAGGACGACGAUGACGACCGGGGCCGGCGAGGAGACGACGAGGGCAGCCGGCAGUGGCUGCACGGAGGCGAGGAUGCCGUGGAACGCGCCGCUGCGAUGCCGACGACGGAGGCGGCGCCGCGAGACGACGAGCCGGCGAGGAUGAACGGUGAAGACGACGUCGGACACCGGCGGUGUUCGGCCGAAGGGGAAGCGAUGCCGAGGGGUGGACGAGGUGGAGGGCUACGUCACCGUGCCGAGGGAGGGGACGGCAGCACCGACUGACGCACGGGCAUGGCGAAAGGGGCUGCCGGAGGAGAUGCCGACGAGGAGGAAGGAGAGGCCGGCGCGGGCGACGGCGUUCCGGCGAAAUUCGGGCGAGGAGGAGGUGAUGCCGGGGAAGGAGGCGAUGCCGCGGUGUCGAAGGAGGAGACGGCGGCGUCGAUCGGCGCACCGGCGACGAACAGCAGCCGGCUGGAGGGAGUACAGUGGCACCAAUGCCACUGGUUGCCGGCGGGGGCACCGUUCCGGCGAGUUUCCGGCGAGGAGACGGUGAGGCCGGUGAAGGGGACGGUGUUGCAGAGCCGAGGGAGGCGACGGCACGGCCGGACGGCGCGCGGGCGAGGCGGGAGAGGCGGCUGGAGGCGGCCGGCGGCACGGGAGAGAGAAGAGGAUGGCGGGGAGAUGGCUAGGGACCACGGGAGACCGCGGGAGGGGGCUAAAACGAUAAAACGGAGCGAGGGGAUUCUGUUUUAUAGGCGCUGGGAGGGAGCCGGCCACGGGAGGAGCGAGGAACGGCGGCGGAAAACUCGGCCGGCGGCCAUGGGAGGCUGCCGAGGAAGGCGCGGGCAUUCCCGACGAUUGGGGGCGUCAUUCAAGGGGGAAUUAAGGGGGAAAGAGAGUGAGGAGGGAAAGGGGAUUAAUUCCCCCUAAUCAAUUUGGAAAGAGCCGGCUUGAAUCGUGUGGAUUUAAGGGAGGAAUCGACGCUAGGUUUCACGGGAGAGAAGAGAGAGAGAGGAUGCCGGGCGGGAGGAAGGAGACGAUCGGGCGGGUGGGACCCACCGGUCAGGCGGCGUCGUCAGCGCGCGCACGCGCGCGGCACGGGCGGGAGGGCGCCGUUCGGCUUGGGCCGGGCGGCGGCCCAGGUGGGAGGGGGCAGGGAGGCUUGGGCCGAGAGGCGGCCCAGGAGGAGAGGAGGGCGAGGAGGCCCGGGAGAGAGAUGGGAGGGGAGGGAGCUGGGCCGGGAGGGGGAGGGAAGGCCCAAGAGAGAAGGAGAGGGAGAGGAAUAGAGGGAGGAAGAGAGGACUUCGGCCGCGGACCGAGAGAGAGAGAGGGAGGACUUUGGGCCAAAAUUGGCCCAAAAGAAAAGGAGGAUUAUUUUUAGGUCUUCUUUUUAAUAAACUUUGAUAAUUGUUUUUGUUGCUUAAUAAUUAUUUCCGGUGCUCUGAAAAUUCAAGUAAAAUUUGAGGGCUCCUUUUAGACCAAGGAGAAUUUAACAAAAAUUCUCCGGGCCACAUUCGAAUUUUUUUUUCUUGUACGUAUUUUAGUGUUUGCCAAUUUCUUUUCGAAUUUUAAUUAAUUCUAUUAUUCCUUUUAGCGAAUGAUUUUUAAUUCGGGAUGAAUUUAUCAGGACGUGACACGAACCAUGACAAGCCAUCCGAUAGGACCAUAAUGCUUCGGCCAAUCUAGUAUGCCAUUGCCGAGGAUAUUCGGAAAUCUUCCUCUUAAUCAGUUUAAUCGAACACUUGUUAGAUGCCUCGGCUUGCCCAUUAGCUUGUGCAUAAUAAGGCGAAAAAUUCAACAAUUUAAUACCCCUAUCGGCAAACUGAACAAACUCAUCAGACACAAAAAUCGAGCCUUGAUCAGUUGUAAUGGUCUAAGGAAUACCAAAUCGAUAAAUAAUAUGCUCUUUCUUUGAAGGAAUCGCCUCUACCCACUUGGUAAAGUAAUCGGUUGCCACCAAUAUAAACUUGUGUCCUUUGCUCGAUGGUGGAUUAAUCAUACCGAUCAUAUCAAUUCCCCAACCUCUAAAUGGCGAUGGCUUGAUGAUAGGAUUCAUAGCCGAUGCUGGCGCUCUUUGAAUUGAUCCAAACUUUUGAUAAUCUUGACAUCCUUUAUAAUAUUUGAAACAAUCUUCUAACAUGAUAUGGGGUUGAGUUGGUUAGUGCCUUGAAGAUAAGAAUGAUUUGUUCAAGAGAUCAUGAGUUCAAGGAUUGGCAAAAACAAGGGAAAAUAUUUUAUUCUCCUUUUCACAUUGGUUUUAUAUGGUUGUGGUACAAUUUAAUGUCUCUAGAAAAUGCCUCUACCACCUUAUAAACAUUUUAUAAAAUGCCUCUUCGUUUGUAGAGACAAUUCACCAUAAGGCACUAAUUAGACAUUUUUUAAAAUGCCUCUACAGUAUUGUAAAGGCAUUAGAAAAGUGUCUCUAUAGUACUAGAAAAAUGUCUCUACAAAGCAUUUUUCUUGUAGUGCUUGUCUCUGCAUCCAAAAGCCGACAGCUCAGGUAAAACACAACUCUCUCUUUUCCUUCAAGUGCCUGAAUCAAAACCGAGCCGAUUGACUUCUCACCAGCCGACAAAUAUAAUCUAAAAGGUAUCCCUUUUUGCGGAGGGAUCAAAACUGGAGGAGAACUAAGAUAUUCUUUAAUACUAUCCAAAGCCUUCUGCUGCUCUGCCCUCCAAGUAAAUUUUUGAUCGGCUUUCAAUCUCAACAAUGGUGUAAAAGGUUCUAAUCUACCAGACAAAUUAGAGAUAAACCUUCUAACAAAAUUUAUUUUGCCGAUCAUCUCCUGCAAUUCUAUCUUGUUCUCCGGAGGUUGAAUCUUCUUGAUCGCAUUAACACUCCUCUGAGUUAUCUCAAAUCCCCUUUCAUGAACAAGAAAUCCUAAAAACUAACCAGCCGAUACACCAAAAGCACACUUUGUUGGAUUCAUCUUUAGGCCAUACUUCCUAGUUCACUCAAAAACCUUCCUCAAAUCGGCUAUGUGGUCUUCUAUUUCCUUUGACUUAACAACCACAUCAUCAAUAUAAACUUCAACCAAGCAGCCGAUUAGAACAUGGUAUAUAUAGUUCAUAGCCCGUUGAUAUGUAGCUCCAGCACUUUUCAAGCCAAAAGUCAUCACGACCCACUCAAACAAGCCGAUUGCACCAGGACAUCUAAAAGUUGUCUUAUGAAUGUCCUCCUCUUCCAUAAAGAUCUGAUUGUAACCAUCGUUACCAUCCAUAAAACUCAAUAUCUUAUGUCCUGAGGCAGCAUCGACCAACUGAUCGGCAACCGGCAUUGGGUGCUCAUCCUUUGGAGUAGCCUUGUUUAGGUCUUGGAAAUCAAUACACACCCUGACUUUGCCAUUUUUCUUAAUAACUGGAACUAUGUUGGAAACCAACUCAGCAUAUCGGCAUGGACGAAUAAAACUAGCAUCAUAUAAACAUUUAACCUUAGCCUUGACAGGUUUGAGCAUAUCGGCUUUCGCAUCUCCUCGGCGGCUGAUGGUAUGGUCUAACCCCCGGCUUGAUAGGGAGCCGAUGUUCAACAAUCGAUCGACUGAGUCCUGGCAUCUCGUAAUGUUCCCAAGCAAAGCAAUCUCUGUAUUCUUUCAAGAGCUCUAUCAACUUGAUUCUGAAUUCCAGAGAUAAAUUCCUACUAAUAAAUGUUGGCCUUGGCCUAUCACAUGGACCUAUAUCAACUUCUUCCAAAUCAUCAGCCAACAUGAAACCCUGUCCUUGCUUGUCAUCGAGAUCGUCUACUGUGUCCUUUGUGUAGACGUUUGAACCCUCCACGAUGCCCUCAAAGUAAUAAUUUGGGUUCUCCGUCUUCAAUUGGUUGUAUAUCACAAUCGGACACUUUUAGAAUAUCUCUAUCCCAAACUUUUCCUGACAAGCAAUCAAUACCGUCCAUCUCCCAAAGAGCUAAAUCGACACUGGCAACGUUAACUGACCUGUCGGCUGGCACAAUUUCAAUCUUGUCGCCUUGCCAUUGAAUCAAGCAUUGAUGCAUGGUCGAAGGAAUACAACAAUUGGCAUGAAUCCAAUCCCUUCCAAGCAACAAACUAUAGGAACCCUUCCCAUCGAUGACAAAAAAUGUUGUAGGGACGGUCUUGCCGCUGACUGUCAGCUCCACAUUCAAAACUCCUUUUUUUCCCGAUGGAUUGCCACCAAAAUCUUUGAGAACCAUGUUUGUCUUGAUGAGAUCUUCAGUAUUUCUGCCCAGCUUCCUGAAUGUAACAUAUGGCAUCAAAUUCACCGCAGCCCCACCAUCAACCAUCAUCUUGGUCAUCAGCUUCCCAUUGACAUAGCUGUUUAUAUACAAUAGGUUAAGGAGCCAAUUCUCUGUCCCUUCUGGCUUCUCAAAGAUUGCUUGCUCUGGUGACAAAACCAACCUAGCCGAAGCUUCCUCAACUUCAUCAACAUCGGCUUGUUUAGCUCCAAAAUCCGCAGGUAACGUGAAAACCAUGUUAACCGACGCAGUCACGACACUCUUCCCUUUAGCCAAUCUUUUUGCUUCAUCGGCUUUGACUUCAUCGGCUAUAGCAGCUUGGUUCUUAACACGCCACUCUUGCCUCGGCCGAUGAUUAAUCUCCUGCUCCACCUCAUCAAAACGUUCUCUGUUCCAUAACCUUUGAACCCUUCUCUUCUGAUUUUUCGUGAAAAUACCAGAAGGACACCAUUGAGUCUUUCUAUCCUCAUCAUCUCUUUGAUCACACUCUUGGUUUACUUGGCCCAAUCUUUGAUGAACAGGAACUCUUGUUUGCCUCAGCUGAUUACUUCUGUUGUAAGAUCUGCUUGAACUUUCUGCAACAUUACUGCAUCCAGGACGAUCUUCGAUACAUGGCAGCCUCAUUCCUUCAUUCCAGCAAAAUCUGAAAAACUCACAUUCCCAAUGAGGAUCAAAACCACCAUCAUCUUCUUCAUAAUACCUUUCCUGCUGUUGCUUGUCAUAUUUUCUUCGGUACUUGCUGAUAAUUCUAGCCGAAUUCAUCUGAAAAUUCCUAUUCUUCCCUCCAUCGUCUGCCCUUCCAGACGUAUGCACCAUAUUGACAGGGAAAGGGUUACCAUCGACCUUCAUCGGCUUCUUGGAGUCGUCAAACUUUAUUUCUCCUCCUUCAAUAGCCGCCUGAAUCCGCUGUCUAAAAACUUUGCAAUCAUUAGUACAAUGAGAACCAGAAUUAUGCCACUUGCAAUACCUCCUCUUUCCUAGCUCUUCAGCCGAUGGUAUGAUAUGACCAGCAGGAAGUUGAAUCUGCUUCUCCCGAAGUAACAAAUCGAAAAUCUUGUCAGCUUUGGUGAUAUCAAAAUCAAAUCUUUCUUCUUUUCCAGAACUCCUCACCCAUGGGCAUGGCACAACCUUUUUGCUCCUAACCCACUCGGCUGCUACUACCUCGGAAUCAUCUUCAUCAUCAGAAUCAUAUAUAUAAGGAUACACAUGAUUGAUCUUCUUGAAGCUCUUCUUAGCCUCUGCAAACCUCUGUUCAUGCAGAGUUACCUUCUGUGCAAGAUGCGAUAAACUAUCAAACUCCUGGGUGAGAAUUUCUCCUUGAUUGGAGCUAUUAGACCUGAAAAACCAAAUCGGCUAACUGGGAAUCAGUCAAACUCAAACUGUAGCACCUAUUCCUCAUCUCUCUGAAUCUCUGAAUAUAAUCCUGCACAGAUUCAUCAUGCCUUUGUCUAAUUGCUGUUAAAUCAUACAAUUUCAUCUCGUGGACUCCACUAUAGAAAUAGCUAUGAAAUUGUUUCUCCAAAUUGGCCCAACUGUUGAUUGAAUUGUAUGGUAAAGAAGAAAACCAAGUAAAUGCCGAUCCGGAUAAAGACAAAGGAAACAACCUGACCCUCAAGGCGUCAACAGCCGAUGCCUCACCACAUUGAGCUAAGAAUCGGCUGACAUGUUCAUAGGUCGAGACAUUGUCUUGUCCUGAGAAUUUUGAAAAAUCUGGAACUUUGUAUCGGUUAGGCAAUUGAACCCUCUCGAACUACUCAGGAUAUGGAUGCCGAUAUAAGUUUCCAGUAUCCUUUGGCUUAAGCCCAAAUUGCUCUAUCAUCACAUCUGCAAUCAUAUCAGCCCAUGGUCUCUGCUGAGGUACCCCUUGCGCUUGUUGUGGUAUAGGCUCGAAUUUAUUGAACUGAGGAGCAAACUGAGGCUGAGGUGAUCCCUUUGCUGAUACUGAACAUGAGGCGAUGGAGGCUGAUAUUGGUAAUUCAAAUUCCCCCCUUGAUAAUUCUGAAAGUUCGGUUGUAUGUUGCGCACCAAAUGUUCGGGAAUAACUUGAGGUAUCACCGAUUCAUUCUCCCCUUCGCUUGCUUGUGACACUUUCGACAUCAAUAUAAGGUAUAUUAGUUAAUUAAAUGGAUAUACACAUGCAUUUAUAAAAAUUAAGUAGCUGUAUGUCGUCCAAAAUUAUAGGUGCUAUAAUCAAAUUACCUAGUAGUUGUGCACUUAUAGACACCAAAUGGCGAUCAAAUUGGUGUCGGGUCUCUGCCGAUGGUCGAGGGCAUGCAUAUCCAUAAAACUAACUUGUAGCAGACAUGGCCCACUCAUGAAAACCUCUACCAACACGGCAACUAUCACAGAUGAAAGACCUUUUAUUAUACUUGCUUUUAUGUACCAUUCAUGCCACCUUUUUAAUUGGCAAGGUCCUUCUGCUAAUUCCCAGGUGGGGAGGAAUGCUUUGCCAUUCUCAAAUUGUUCAGGCACAUCAACAGUGGGCAUAAAAUUCAAAGUUUUAUUCAAGCUUAUUUUUGGGCCUUUUGCUUUCUUUUUGUCAUAAUCAGUCAUUGCUUUCCCCUGUUAUUACUAAUCCUUCGUGGGAAUGCCUUUAUCAUAAACUCUUUCUUGGACGCACUUUCUUCAUUGUGCUUGUGUGCUCUUAUCAUUACUGGCACUCCGUCACCCUUAGCUUCUUCCUGUGAUAUUACUUGUUCCGAUUGUACCAUGCUAGGCGCCACAGGCUCUUGUAUGACCUCUGCAUCCCUUUCAAGCUCUGUUGUUCAGGCAUUGGUUAUUCAGGCUCUAGUUGUGUUAACAGUGAAAUUUGGUAAGCCCGUAAGAGAAUUAUCACGUCGCCAACAGUCGGAUUUCUGCUGUAUUCGGUCGAGGAAAUUAAUCUGUUAAAGGAAGCUUAUGCAGGAGUGACCGAGUUCAAGGAGGAUGCGACAUGACAGUUUAUCCAUUAAUUAGGCAGUAUUUGUUAGUUUCCUUUUAUCUUUAGAAAAGUGUGUUUAGUGUCAUAUAAGGACUUUAUGUUUUCCUUUUAUCUUUUAGGAAAGUUUCUUUCUUGUCCUACAAGGACUAGUAUCUCCCCAUGGAUAUAAACAUGUACACCCGGGGUCCAUGUAAAAUAUCUCACGAUCAAUACAAUUUGGCGUAUUGCCACACCUUUCUACUUUUCUACUUUAUUUACCAUCAGGUGGAACUUGGCACCCGACGCGGGGCUGCAUCGGUUUUCGAUCUCUGGCGAAGGGGUAAGUUCAAUGUUUCGCUGGCCCAGGCAAUUGUCUCGUCUACAUCGGCGUCGUUCAAGGCUGCAUCAAUUUAGCUUUAUCGGUUGUUAAUUACAUCAAGUAUCAGAAUCUACAUCAGAAUUAUAGCCGAUAGCUCAAAACCCUAUCUAUCGGCUCGUAUCGACAUCGACUGAAAUUAAUCUAUCAGCUGUUUUAUCUGCUGUUUGUAUAUCUUGUGAGUUGCAGGGUCAAACUGACUGGCACACCCGUAUCUCAUCAACCUUUGGACCUGCACUGGAGCUAAGCAGAUCUCUCAGUCCAGUGUGUGUUUUCCGCGUCAACACAUUUAUGGCACGCCAGUUGGGACACGAGUUUUUGCAUGGAGUAUUGUUGAUGGUCAUUAACGAUCAGUUUCGACCAUCAAUAUUACCAAAAUAGAGGAGAACUAGUGAUGCUUGCAAUGAAUAUACAUGUUAGAAUAAUAAUAUUCCACUAGUAUUAGGUAUACUAACCUUUUGCAGAGAAUAACCAUAAAGUGGAGGAGAAUCGACAUCAACACAGAUGAUAAAUAAAUCGGACGAUGUCGAGAAUCAGACUUAUGCAUGAAUGGGCCAAGAACUCAGAAUUGACAUGAUGAAUUGGGCCAAAAUUCACAAGUCUACGAAGUGAAGCAACGGAGGAGGCCACCAGCCAAAACUUGGGCUGGUUGGCCCGGCCCCUGGUUCGGGGUUCGGCCGAACCUCCCUCGCCGCCAUUAGCUGCAGGGCUUCUUCUGGACGGUUGGGAUUGAUCCCCAAUGACGGUUGGAGGGUAUUACCGACCAUUCCAACUGUCACAACCAUCAUUACCUGCCUAUAAAAGGAGUUCCUCACUUCACUUCACAAACACACCUCAAUCAAGAGCUCUCUUAUAUUAUCUCAAGUUAGUUUAGUGUUAUCUAGCUAGUGGAAUAAUAGGAAUAGAGUAGAAAUCGGGAGUCUGGAAGCCUUCGGAAGAGUUUGGGUAUGGCUCUAGUAGCUUUCCUUUCCUCUUUUGUUAGCUUUGUACUUUUAUUAGAAUACUCUUCUUUAUACAUUUAUGGUAUUGAAAUACUUUCCGAGUAUAUGAAUGCCUACUUUACAUUAUGUUCAUGUUAUACUGAAUAUGCUACUAGCUUAUCUGGGAGACGCUUUGGUGGGGGUAUAAUGUUUGCUUAUGCAAUUACUCUAUGUCAUGACGAUAAUAUUAGAGUAGUAUCUGGUAGUUUAGACGUGGUGUCUAAUUAUGGGAUAUCGUUAUUUGGGGUUAUAUGCUGCGGAUGAGAGGUGGGCCACUAAUGGUGACAGCUCAGUACGGGUAUUUGUUGACGGUCGUUAUCGAUCAGUCUCGACCAUCAAUAUUACCAAAAUAGAGCAGAACUAGCGAUGCUUGCAAUGCAUAUAUGUAACAUACUGAAAAUUUGCUAUUUUCUAAUUAUGCAUCAUGCCGAUUCUUAUGUUCUUAAUAACUUCCUAAACCUAAGAAAUUAUAAUUAGAGGGACCUCCUAAAACUAACAUGUAUAAAAUCCCUUUUUGGUAUUUAAAAUCUUUCGUGGUUUUUAUUCUAAAAAUUGAUCUUGUUAGAUCGAGGUAUUCUCUUUGAUUUGAUUUUGCAUCUUAAACCUUCUUUCGACCAAAAUUUCUUUUAUUCAAAUUUAGUUUGAAAACCCUUUCUAUUUUUAAGAAUUAUGGUCCAAGAAAUUCUUCCAAACCUAAACCAAAGCAAUUCCAAUUUCAUUGGAAUUAAUUGUCGACCCAUCCUUUGAUUUCAAACCUAUUCUUAUUUAUCGCCAAAUAUCCAAGUUUCCCAUUAGCCUCAAAUACUUCUCCAAAUUCUUGCCAAAUAAUUUGAGGCUAACAUCCUAUUUAUUUCCCUUCCCUCUCAAUCGAGUGCAUCAAAUAAAUUCCGUUAUAUUCUAUCUCUCAAAAGAUUGCACUCAAAUAAAUUAGAACAUCCUUAUUUUAAAAUCCCUCUCCGAAUUCAAAUCCUUUUUAAAAUCUAGCCAUCCAAAUUCCUCUAAAUCAAUUAUUUGAAUCUCUAGGAAAAUUAGACUUUCUUUGUUUCUAGACUGGGCCGAAACCCUUUGUCACGUCCCAAAACGACUCUAAAAUACAUCCUCGAAAUUAUGCAAAGAAUAAUUAAAAUCCAUGUGAAAGCCUCCAACAAUUAAAAUGUGCAAAUUUAAAAGUCAAAUAAGGCUUGGAGGAUUUUUGUAUAUUUCCUAAAAGCCUAAAAUGCGUAAAUAAAUUUUAGUGGAAUUUUCAGAGCACAAAUAAUAAUUAAGAAGAAAUAAACAAAGUUAAAGUGGUUUUAUAAAAAGAAAAAAACCCUAAAAGUCCUUUCCCCCCCCCCUUCCCCUCUUGGGCCGGCUCGGCCCAGCCCUCUCCCUCUCUCUCCUCUCCCCCGCGGCCCAUCGGCCUCCUCCCCGCGCGCGCGCCGCUGACGGGCGGGCCCGCCCGCCACCCUCGCUGACGGGUGGGGCCCACCCGUCAUCCCCUACCUCACGCCGCACCCGCCGCCUCGCCCGUGCCCUAGCGCCGCCGCCGCCGCGGAUUCCGCCGCAUCCCGCCGUCCCCGCGCGCAAUAAAGAGGGGGAAAUCACUCCCCGUGAUUCCCUCCCUCUUUCCGCCCACUUUUCUCUCUCUCUCUCCCUCGGAUUCGUUUGGAAACCCUCCCGCAAACCUCGCCGGCGCCAUUGAUGGAGCCCGAGAUCGCCGCACCGGUUUCCUUCCCCUCCGGCCGCCCUCUCUCACUCCCAACCCUAUUUAAACGUUCCCCGUGCCUCCCUCCACCGUUUCCGCCACUCGCCGCUCUCUCUCCCCGUCGGAAUCGAGCUCGCGCCGUCGUUCCCUCUCUCCGCCAUCGCCGCCGAGCUCCGGUCCGCCGCCGUCGUCGCCUCGGACCUCCUCCCGCUUCGGCGUCGCCUCCUUCGGCUUCGCCGCGUCCUCGUCGACCUCGUCCACUCCUCCGUUUCGCCCGCCGACCGCCGGAACGCCGCCGUCCUCGUCGACCCGAGCCGCGCCGCCGCCUCUCUCCGCUUCGGUCGCCGUUCCCGUCGUCGCCGUCGACCCGGGGUGAGCCAUGGACCGCCCAUUUCGUUUCCCCCUUCCGUCCGCUCUCUCGGGCGCCGCUCCGCCGCGCCGGUGGCCGCCGCCGGCGACCAUCGGGGUGCGGGCGCGCCGCCUCCCCGUCGGCCGUGCCGGCGAGGCCGCCUUCGGGCGCGCCCCGCGGCUGCCAUGUGGGGCCCGGCCGUCAGCCGCCCGCGCCCUCGGGUGCGGCUGACGCGUGGGACCCACGGCGCCGGCCGGCGUAAGCCGCGUGCACCCGGUCCACCGUGGACCGUGAGGCUGCCGCGUGGGCCCCACUCCCGUGGACCCGGUCCACGCGUCCCUCCCCUCGGCUGACGCAAUAAACCCGAUUUUAAAUUAAAAAUUUAAAUGAAGAAAUUCGUAAAUAUCCAUUUAAAGAGCAUAUAAACUUCAAAUGGCCAUAACUUGGCCAUUUGAACUCGGAAUUGGACCGUUCAAGUCUCUAAUUUUUCCUUAAGAAGUCAAGAACCCAUUUUUGUGCUUUGUUUCUGCUUGUUAUAUGGAGUUUAGUAGAGUAAAACCUAUUCGAAUAGCCGCGCCCUCGGUUAUGGGCAAGCCGAGCAAUGUACCCAAGUUAGUGUUUUAAUUCGUAAAACCUGCUUAACAACUGAAAUGUGGAAUGGUUGGCCUGGGUUGGCUUGGGACGAGCUGGGACCCAGGGUCGGGUUGCCAGUUCGGUCUGAAUCAUCGUAGGCCUUGGGUUAAGGCAGGUUCGUGUGGGUUCACGGCCUUGAUAAAUAAUAUUGUUUAGUUUUAGAAUCGCGUUUACAAAAUGGCUUUGAGCAACUAAAUGUCUUUAAAUGCUGUUUACUGCAACCUUAACCCUUUAUAGUGUAACUCCUUUGUACUCCCUUGCAUUUAUUCUGCACUUGUGGGUGUGUCUUGUUGAGUACGGUGGUUGUACUCAGUCUUGCUCAAUUUUUCCCAAACCCAGAAGAGGAGUUCCUGGAGGAUGAAGGCUUUGGUGUCUAGCUCGUACCUGCCGUCAAGUGCCUGUGGUCGUCGCCCUAGUCUUCCGCUGUUUCUCGUUUGUCUCUGUGUGUGCUGGGCCUUCGCUGCCCAUGUAAUAAAUUAACUAUUUACGCUUCCGCUUGUUAAACUCUGAAUUGUAUCAACUUUUGGUGUACCUUGCCUCCUGGGACAAGGAUUAAUGCACGCACGUAAGGAACGCCCGUUGGGUUAUUUCCGGUCGUGACACCCUUUCCCUCCUCCAGCCCAAGCCGGCCCAGCCACCACAGCCGAGCCGCCCUUCCUCCUUCUGUAGACGCGCACACGCACACGCCGUCGCCGCUUCCUUGCCGUCGCCGCCAAGUCGCGCCGCCACCGUCACCGUGCCUUACCCUCCAACUCCGCCGUUUUUCCUUCGCCGCUAAGCAACUGCCGCCGACGUCAGCCGCCACAUCACGCCGCUGACAUCAGCCGCCGAGCCGAACCGCCUUCGAUGGCCAAUUAGCAGAUAGAGUCGACGCCGUGCUCCUGUUUCUGUGCCGCCGCCGCCGUGAUUUGCUCGCCCUCCUCCUCUGCAAACCGCCAUGAACCACCGCCCCUCGUCGCCUAUAAAUAGCCGGCGAGCUCAUCCCAUCUCUUCCGCAUCCGAGCUCGAGGUCCCCUCUUUCUCUCUCCACCAUGGCCGGCUAAUACCAAGUCCCCGGUCGAUCUCUUCCAUUGGAGCCCCAUCGGCCGAAUCCUUGCGCCAUGAGCUUCGCCUCGACGAGGUGAUUCCAUUUCUCCCCUUUCCCCUCUCCUUUAGCCACCGCCACAACUCAUCACCACCACCACACAAACCGGCCGGGACCAAGGUUUUGUCCACGCCGUUCUGGCCAUCUCCCUCUUUCCCUCGGCUAGCUACCACCUUCCCCGGGUGCGCGUCGCUCGGGAACACGCUUGGCCACCGCCGUCGAGACCGUUCCAUCACUGGAGCACCGGCGCCCCUUCUCUCUCUCUCUCUCUCUCUGCUGUUCACGGGAAGAAGAGAAGGAAGAAGCAGACGAGAGGAAGAAGAAGGAGAAAAGAAAAAGAAAAAGAUAAAGAGGUACUGACAGUAGAGUUUAUUAUAUUUUGGAGGCAACCUGUGGUGUUUCGAGGAUCAGAUAAUCAGGUUGCCUAUCUCAGAGUUAUUUGCGUUGGAGCAAGGCAAGUUAUUAUUCCUCCCCUUGAACAUAAUUACCCUAUAUUCUAUAUCUCUAUUCUAUGCAUUAGUCAUUCAUGAUUUUGAAUGCAUAACCUGAACAUAUAGCAAACCAGAUAUAUGCUAGAUUUGCUUAGCCCUGCCUAGUUAGUCUGCAUAAAAAUAUAAUGAACUUAGAUUGGGACAGUACGUAGGAAUUGGUUGAUUUCCGGGUGGCUAGUACUGUCUCAGUCGAUAUAGUUAUUACCAAGUACUUAUGUCAAACGAACGAGUACGACCGCAAUUCUAGAAUGGGGACAGACCUUGCAAAGUAGGUUGUCUAGCAAAGGUGGUACCUCUGUACAGUGGUUCUUAUUUAAGUCCUCGAGCAGGAGGCAAACAUAUGCCGCGAAGGGCAAAUAUAACAUUUACCGAGGCGCAGGUAAAUGAUUUGUUGAGCUCAAGUGUGUGUGUAUUGUGAAAACCUGGUUGAGAUGACGGGGGUCUCUCAACCAGUUCUCUCUCUAAAAACCUCGGGAACGCCAGAACUCCUCUCACUGCUGAUAACGUUACGUUCAGAGCGCAUGAGGAUGAGAGUUCAUGGAACAGGUGCCACUGAUGUUAGUAACCGAAAAGCUUUGCCAUGACUAAGCUAAUGAAUAUUGGCAUGUCAUGGAUUGCGGGUAAAGCGUACAUUUACUGCAGUAAAGUAAACCUGAAUCUAUUCGAAUAGCCGUGCUCACGGAAUUGAGUAUCGGGACUCAUAUGGUACUUUGGUUAGAAACCUAAUUCAAGAUUUUACUAAAUGCUGCUGCAUUUAAAACAUCAGGCUUUCUAUUUCUAUACUCUCUGCCUUCUGCAAGUAAUCGUAAUCCUACUCAAAUAUUACCUUUUUAUACAUUCAUUAUUGAAUAUAAUAGCUUGCUGAGUACGUUGUACUCACCCUUGCUUCAACCUCCUUUUUCCAGAGUUAAAUUGAAGUUCUUGCCAAAGCCAGGAGUUCAAUCAUAUAAGUUAGUCUUAUUUCAACCUAGUUCACAAAUCUAGAUUAGUUAGAUGGUUUAAGUCUAUAGCAAAAUAUUAGAGUUGAGACACUCUAUAGCUUCUGCUGUAAUAGUUAGCCACAAUCUUGUAAAUUCCCCUAUUAAUUUAUGUAAUAACAUCUCCUUUGGAGCCUUGUUCAAAUGUACGCAAUGAAAAUCCAGAUUGUUGAAGCUGUAUCAAUCUACUGAUCCAGGGCUUGAUACAGUUAAACAUGUCGGUUUCCGAAUCAUUAGUUUUGGGAUCCGACAAUAUAUUUGUUACAAUAAUAAUAUUCCACUAGUAUUAGGUAUACUAACCUUUUGCAGCGAAUGACAAUAAAGUGGAGGAGAAUCGACAUCAACUCGGACGAUAAAUCAAUUGGACGGUGUCGAGAACCAGACUUAUGUAUGAAUGGGCCAAGAACUCAGAAAUAACACGACACAUUGGGCCAAAAUUCACAAGUCUAUGAAGGAGGACAACAAAGGAGGCCGCCAGUCGAAGAUGGGUUGGGUUGGGCCAGCCCAUGGUUCGGCCGAACCUCCCAUGGCGCCGAUGGAUGCACGGUUUGGAUGGACGGUUGGAUUUGAUCCCCAAUGACGGUUGGAGGGUAUUACCGACCAUUCCAACCAUCACAACCGUCAUUACCUGCCUAUAAAAGGAGCUCAUCUUCUCACUUCACUCACACACCUCGAGCAAUAGCUAUCUCAUUUCUCUCAAGUUUAGUUUUAGCUGGUGGAAUAGGAAUAGAGUAGAAAUCAGGAGUCCGGAAGCCUUCAGAAGAGUUCGGGUAUGGCUCUAGUAACUUUUCUCUUCUCUUUUGUAAGCUUUGUACUUUUACUAGAAUACUCAUCUAAAUACAUUUAUGGUAUUGAAGUACUUUCCGAGUAUAUGAGUACCUACUUUACAUUAUGUUCAUGUUAUACUGAAUAUACGGCUAGCUUAUCUGGGAGAUGCUUUGGUGCUGGUAUAGUGUUUGCUUAUGCAAUUACUCUAUGUCAUGACGAUGAUAUUAGAGUAGUAUCUAGUAGUUUAGACGUGGUGUCUAGAUUACGGGAUAUCAUUAUUUGGGGUUCUAUAUUACGGAUGAGAGGUGGGCCGCUGAUGGUGACAGCUCAGUACGGGUAUUCCUCCGUGUCAGUACAUAAUCCUAAGUUAAUUCCCUGGGGAGGGUAUUCCUCCGUAUUUAGCCCUGGUUGUAUGGUCAUGACGGGCUGUCGUAAGGAACUCGGCAGUCAGGGGUGGCUUCUCGAAGUACAAGGAGGGCAUCGGAUAUAGGGUAUUAGCUAGUAUAUCGGUUAACUAGAAUGUAUGUAUACUAUGUAUAUCAGAAGUAUUGGAAUAGAUUUUCUUUCUCUUUUCUUUCCACUUAGCUUAAAUGAUAUAUUAUGAGAAUGAGUAGUUAAUGCUUGUGUAUCACUCUACCCAUGGAUUAUCUUAACCCCAGCUUACAAUAUGAUUAUCACAAGUAAUAUAUAAAUUAUUAGUCAAGUUCUCUGUACAUGGUCUUCCCACGGGAUAAAACAAAUACAAUACCCUUGGAAUACUCUCGGGUAAAAUGCUACAAUGGUAUACCCGUGCGCUAGCGGAUGAAUUCUGUAACCAUAAUAUACCAGAAGUAUUUCUGUGCUAUUGCUGGGAAUUAUUUUAUAUUUGCCUCUGUAUAAUCAUUUUCCUUUGCAGGCUAACCUUGGUUGUUUUCACUUAUGUUGUGAAAACAGGGUAGUGCAUGACUGGUUUCAACUUGCCGAAAAACUUCAAAUAAAAUCCAGAAGCUUUCUUCCAGAGCGUCAGGCCGCGAGUCGCUGCUUCGUAGAAAACUCGAUGGACAAAGAAACCAGCCGUACCAGCGCCACCGACCUUCAAGACUAUGCCUAACAAGACUCUCUGCGAGUUCGCUGCUCCCUCUACUGACAAUGUGGCCAUUGGGCCGCAGGUCAACAUAGGAGAUGUGGAUUUCGACUUGAAGUCCAGCCUCAUCACGAUGGCGCAAGCUAGCCCGUUCUGUGGCAAGCCUAAUGAGGAUGCCAAUGCUCAUCUGCAACAGUUCCUGGAGAUCUGUAGCACGUACACCAUCAAGGGCGUCAGUCCCGACGCCGUCAGGCUGCGACUGUUUCCGUUCUCCCUUCUCGGGAGAGCGAAGCAGUGGUUCUAUGCCAACCGUGUAGCUAUCAAUACCUGGGACAAAUGCUCUACGACAUUCCUCUCGAAAUUCUUCCCGAUGGGCAAAACCAAAGCCCUUCGUGGAAGGAUUUCAAGUUUCCAGCAGACAAGGGAUGAGUCUAUUCCGGAAGCAUGGGAACGACUACAUGAGUACGUAGCCGCCUGUCCUCAUCAUGGGAUGGACGACUGGCUGAUCCCGCAGAACUUUUAUAAUGGACUCACCCCGAUGUCCCGUGAUCACAUGGACGCGGCAGCUGGAGGAGCGUUCUUCUCUAAAACGGUUCAAGGAGCCAUUGAUCUAAUAGAGAAGAUGGUCUCCAAUAUGGGUUGGAGCGAGGAACGACUACAGACCCAUUAGCAAGCCAUGCACACCGUCAAGGAGACAGAGUUACUUGCUGCCAAACUGGACCUCCUCAUGAAGCAAUUGGACGACCACGAGAAACGGCCGCAAGGCACCGUCAAGGCCUUGGACUCUCACGCCACAUGUGAGGUCUGCGGCAACACGGGUCAUUUUGGGAAUGACUGCCCAGAAAGCCGUGAGGAGGCGAUGUACAUGGGCAACAACAACAACAGGUAUCGUCCACAAGGAGGUCAGGGGUGGAACAAACCAUGCCCAUAUUAUCAAGGAGGUAACAACAACGGUAAUAACCAGUCCUCCUUGAAGGAUCUCGUUUUUGCGCAAGCUAAGACCACCUAUGCGCUAAGCAAAAAGCUUGCGGCUAAUGACAAGGUCCUAGAAAACAUAUGUCAAGUUAGAUGGCUUUGCUUCUGCUUUUCAAAAUCAGUUGCGCUUUAAUAAAAUGAUAGAAACCUAGCUAGCUCAGUUGGCAUCCUUAGUCCCUGCAAAUCAAACUGGGAGGAUCCCGGGGCAACCUGACUCCUCCAUUGAAAAUAAGGGCCAUCACGACGAGGGGAGGUAAGUCCACUCGUGAUCCGCCAUAUCCUAACCCUGUAGGAACUAAUGGGAUAUCAAAAUAAGUGCCAUCUAAUGACUCGGCUGGCAAGGAAGUUCCGCCAGAAAAGACAGUGCCGCAAGAGUACUGCGACACACGGUUGCUAUCGUUCCCUCAACGGAGUAGGAAACCGUCAGUGGACGAGCAAUUCGCUCGUUUUGUUGAAGUAAUCUAGAAGAUCCACAUCAACGUGCCGUUGUUGGACACUAUGCAAGUGCCAACAUACGCCUGUUAUCUCAAGGACAUACUCAACAACAAGAGACCACUCCCAACAACGGAGGUGGUCAAGCUGACGGAACAAUGCAGCAACGUGAUACUCCAUAAGCUCCCGGAGAAGAAGAAAGAUCCGGGGUGUCCUACGAUCACCUGCUCGAUCGGGGCACAACAGUUCGACCAGGCCUUGUGCGACCUUGGUGCCAGUGUCAGCGUCAUGCCAAAAGACGUCUUCGACAAGCUCUACUUCACGGUGUUGGCACCAACACCAAUGCGCCUUCAACUGGCUGAUUCGUCAGUCCGUUACCUGGCAGGGAUAGCGGAGGAUGUGCCAGUCAAGAUACGAGAUUUCUUCAUCCCGGGGAGCCAGUUUCUUAGCACUGCAGGAGACAACAUUGACGUGGGAACGGGGAGUAUCCAUUUCCACAUCAACGGCAAGGAAGAGAAGUUUGAGUUUCAACUGAGCACGGAAUAAUGCUCCAUGGUUAGAAUAAAGUACGGGCCGAACCCAUAGAAUAUUCAAGAGGUCGAAGUGGAGCCACCUAAAACAGACAGCCUGGUGAAAUUCAUUCAGAAUUUCCUAGAAAAGAAAACAACAAUGCCUACGAACCGUUAUUGGAAGACGCCGGUAGAACCACCCAUACCGGCCAGGAAGCUAGAAGCAGUUGGCUCAAAAGAAGCCGCUGUCCGCACCAAAACCAAAGAAGGUGUGGAGGGAGAAGCCAAAGACGCCCGCUCCGUCACCUCCAGAGACGGGUAGAAAAUCCGCAAACUGAACUGGAUGGAGGUAUAGUCUUGCACGUCGGACUUUAAAUGACGCGACCUUCGCCAACAGGUUGAUUGGUAUGUAUCCGCAUAUUUACUUUCAACAAUUUAAAUUUUUGCAUCAUCACAUGUUUGAAUUUCAAAGUUGCAUUUAGGAUUUUUGAAUUUUUAGGAAAUUCUUCAAAUGAACUUUUCAGAGCAAACCAAAAUAAAAUUUUCAGUGAAAAUUUAUUGUGCCACAACCACACUGACCGUUGGAACCCAACGGCCGAAAGUGGGGUUGGUUGGGCCCACUGUGGGUUCGGCCGAACCAGCGAGGCCAACGGUCGGCUGCCUCCUUCUUUGAGGCAACGGCUAGUGGGCCCCACAGGUCGGUUUUGACCGUGUGGGUGCACUACUUAAGCCAACCGGCCGAGAGAGGGAAUUCCACCCCAUUUCAACACAUUUUCAUUCCCUCUCCAAAGUUUGCUCUCAAGUUCAUUCAAGCUUUGAUAGUUUCCCUCAAAUUCAAACACUAGUUGCAUAUAUACAAGUUGCUUUCGUGAAACUAACUGGCGGGUGAGAUUCUUGUCAUUACUAACCUCUGCCGAGUUAGUCCGUUCCUGCUCCAUUGUGCAGAAUGAGAAGACAACUGUCUCGUCUGUUCAAGGGGUCCGGCUCUUCAUCAAGUCAUCAUGAUGAGUCUAGUACUUGUUCAUCAGCAGAUGUCUCGAUGGAGGACGCCGAAGCUCCGCGAUGACUCCUAAACGACACCGACCUCGACCUUGUCAGUGAUCGGGAGAGACAAGACUACUACAUGCUGAAUGACCGGGAGUAUGCUCACACGCGAGAAUACUCACCGGAGCUGCUAAAAAACAUAGGUAUGGAUGCUGAAUUUCGUACUAUUUGGAAAGCUGUUGGUUGGCAGAGAUUUGCUGUGGUAGAUGAGCCUGGUGCUCGUCUGCUUACUUUACAAUUUCUGUGCACUUUGAAAGAAAUAGAAGAUGUAAUUUCCUUUCGUUAUUUCCGUGAAGAGUUUACACUUACAUGGAAAGGCUUAAGUACACUUCUUGAUUUUCACGAUUCCUGUAAAAUCGAUCUCCAGAAAGGAAUUUCUGGGUUCGAGAAAAUUAGGUUUUGGGAAGAUAUUUAUGGUGCUCCAAUUUGCAAGAAACCUAGAACGAAUGAUAUCCAUAAUCCUACACUUAGGCUCAUGCACAAAUCGAUUGAUAUGGCUUUGUUUCCUAGAGGUGAUCUGAGGCCCAUUAGGGCAGAUGAAUUGAUUAUCAUGUUUGCCAUGGUUAGAAAGAUCCAAAUUACUCCUGUGAAAUGUAUGAUAAGGCAAUGGUUAGAAAGUAUAAAGUUCUCUGUUCCUGUUGAGUGCACUUCUCUGAUUACUCGGAUAGCAAAAGGGCUAGGGGUCGUUAGCGACCAAAUUGCUUUUAUCUCAGCCGCUCAUCCGUGUAUUGAUGAGGCUUAUCUAGUGCAAGGGCACAUUCUGAAAAAUGGAGUAGACGGAUCUUUGAUUUACUUUUUCCCCAGUUGUACAAAUGAAAUCCCGUUGCCAAAUGCGGGGUAUCAUUUGUACAACUGCCAUGAACUAACCAUUCCCCUGUAGACCAUAGAAGAAUCUCGCGCAGGUGGAGCAUACAGGGAGACGCACAACAUGACAAGAAAUGAACGAGAAAGUUCACACCCGUGCAGAUGUAUGAGGCAGGUUGGGAGCCAAUUGGGGAUGCACCCGGAUGGACCCAUGCUCCACGUCACAGUAUUGGAUUCUCAACCUGGGCAAGUGCCAGUGAGGACCGGUGGCGUGCGCCUCAUGACAUCCAAUGGGGGGACAAUCAACCUUCCAGAUCAAGUGGUGUGCUUCCAUCUUCAAGUGAAUGGCGCUCAAGUUCCUCUCGUUGGGACUUGGGUGAAAUCACUAGGAGAAUGGACACACUUGAUAUGCAGAUGGGAGGAGGACAACAAAGGAGGCCGCCAGCCGAAGAUGGGCUGGGUUGGGCCAGUUCAUGGUUUGGCCGGCCAAACCUCCCGUGGCGCCGAUGGAUGCAGGGUUUGGAUGGACGGCUGGAUUUGAUCCCCAAUGACGAUUGGAGGGUAUUACCGACCAUUCCAACCGUCACAACCGUCAUUACCUGCCUAUAAAAGGAGCUCCUCUUCUCACAUCACUCACACACAUCAAGCAAUAGCUCUCUCAUUUCUCUCAAGUUUAGUUUAGUAGUAUCUAGCUGGUGGAAUAGGAAUAUAGUAGAAAUCAGAAGCCCGGAAGCCUUCGGAAGUGUUCGGGUAUGGCUCUAGUAGCUUUUCUCUUCUCUUUUGGUAAGCUUUGUACUUUUACUUGAAUACUCUUCUAAAUACAUUUAGGCCCUCUUUGUUUAGACUUAUAAGCCAACUUAUAAGUCAAAAAGUCUAAGCGAAAACAAACAAGCAGCUUUUUCAUUUGGCUUUUUUGAAGCUAUAAGCCACUCUAACACUAUCAAGCCAAAAGCUAGGUUGGAGAAGCUUUUUUGGCUUAUAUGAGAUAGAUGUAUGACUCCACCACUAAACUUAGGACAUUAAAUCCACUGGCUUAUAAAUCAUAUAAGCCAAUAAGCUGACUUAAAAGUCUGGGCCAAUAAGCCUAAGCCUAAACAAAGAGGGCCUUAUGGUAUUGAAAGACUUUCCGAGUAUAUGAGUACCUACUUUACAUUAUGUUCAUGUUAUACUGAAUAUACGGCUAUCUUAUCUGGGAGAUGCUUUGCUGCGGGUAUAGUGUUUGCUUAUGCAAUUACUCUAUGCCAUAACGAUGAUAUUAGAGUAGUAUCUGGUAGUUUAGACAUGGUGUCUAGAUUACGGGAUAUGAUAUUUGGGGUUAUAUAUUGCGGAUGAGAGGUGGGCCGCUGAUGGUGACAGCUCAGUACGUGUGUUCCUCCGUGCCGGUAUAUAAUCGUAAGUUGAUUCCCUGGGGAGGGUAUUCUUCCGUAUUUUGCCCUGGUUAUACGGUCAUAACGGGCUGUCGUAAGGAACUCGGUAGUCAGGGGUGGCUUCUCGAAGUACCAGGAGGGCAUCGAGAUAGAGGGUAUUAGCUAGUAUAUCAGUUAACUAGAAUGUAUGUAUACUAUGUAUAUCAGAAAUAUAUGAAUAGAUUUUCUUUCUCUUUUCUUUCCACUUAGCUUAGAUGAUAUAUUAUGAGAAUGAGUAGUUAAUGCUUGUGUGUCACUCUACCCUUGGAUUAUCUUAACCCUUGCUUAGAAUAUGAUUAUCACAAGUAAUAUAUAAAUUAUUAGUCAAGUUCUCUCUACAUGAUCUUCCCACGGGAUAAAAUAAAUACGAUACCCUUGGAAUACUCUCGGGUGAAAUGCUACAAUGGUAUAUCCGUGCACUUGCGGAUAAACUCUGUAACCAUAAUAUACCAGGAGUAUUUCUGCGCCAUUGCUGGGAAUUAUAUUUCUAGUAAUGAUGUUAAGAAAUACCAACAGUAUUCUCUACAGUCCAACCAUCGGGGCCAAUCUCAUCUGCGAGUAUUUUGCAUUCGCUUAUUUAAGCGAUAUGGCAGUGACCCUAACGAACAAAUUUUUCGAAAAUCCGAACAGAAAUAUCAUCGAAGGAUUUGGGAUUGUGCAAGAUGUGCAUGUCUGCUUUGAAGACAGGGAGGCGAUCUUGGAUUUCCACGUCUUUGAAAUUCAAGAUUUCGAGAUCCUAAUCGGGCUUCCCAUUGAGCAACUUCUCAUUAACACACCCCGAUUAGACAGUCUCAAAAUAAGACUGGGAGGGAAUGAAUUCUCCGUUCCAUUCUCACGGGCAAGGAUCUCCUUGACUGACCCUCUCCCAGAAAUUGAGUCAGCGGAGGAGGUUAUGGUAGUUCCCCUCACGAGUCUCCCGAGGCCUUUCUGGAAGAUGAAGUCCCCGAUUUCAUCAAGGAAGAGGCGGAACCCGGUGAGACUCUCGAUCUACCAAUCAUGGAACCGCCACCUCGACCUCUGCUUGAGCUUAAACCUCUAUCUCAGGGCCUACGCUAUGCUUUCCAACACAAUGAUAGAGAAGCCUCUGUCAUAAUGUCACGCCCAGAAAUUCCUGAAUAGAAUUCCAAGCAGAAUGUGCAUUAAAAUCCCCGUCCAGGACCGGCCGGGGUACACAAACGACAAAGUUGACAUACAGAUCCACGUCUUACAAACAUUAUAAAAGUCUUACAUAAAUGCAGCAGAAAACUUAAAAGAUAACUGGAGCUAAGCCUUGACUUGGACUGCAGCGGGAACACCACUCCACAGGCAUCCUCGACGGCACGGACGAAGCCUACUCCUCGGAAAAGACACCAUCUGACGCAUACUCAAACUCUGGGGGUUUGGGGAAAAUAGAGCAAGACUGAGUACUACCCACUGUACUCAGCAAGUCAUACCGGAAUAGGGGUAUAAUGCAGGGAAUUAUCAAGGGAUAGCUAUGAUGGUUCAUUUGCAUAAAGCGAGCAUUUAUAAACCGAAGUUGGAAGCAGUAAAACAGUCGUAAUAAUUAAUCAAUAUUAAUCAUCCACUAUCCAACGCUAUACCACGUUGCAACAGGCCCAACCAUCCACCUGAACUAAUCAGUUCCAUCAGACUACACUAGGGUGAGACUAAUCACGGUGAAUCUGGUUGACCGCCCAUAACCGUGGGCACGGCUAUUCGAAUAGUUUUACUCUGAUAAGAGGUGUACAACUGUACCCACAAGACACAGCCCCACGACACGUUUCCGUGCGCCGACAUGCCACCACGACAUACCGGAAAGAGGCCGUGACAGGACCCUUCGCAUAACCCCCUCUAACCAAGCACACCACACCUCAGGUUUCACCCCCUCUCCUCGCAAGGCAGUGGGCAGUCCCCUCUCGUGCCUAGGUGAAUCCGGAAGCCGCAUAGGCCGUCGCAGGGCCCAUCCAAACUCCAUCACGCCCACCCUUGCCUGGAUGCGUCGGCUAGAGGAAAGCUACACUACAAGCCCAGCCGUUGCCCACGCUAGCUUGUGGUAAGUACGAUAAGUUCUUCCAGGGCAUCCCGCGAACCGGUCCUUAAUUGCCAUGGGCGCGACCAUCAAAACCAUGCACCCACAGCCCACCAUUUAAUAUAUUUUAAUUAACCAACACCGGAGCGGUGGGCAUUAACCAACAUCAUUUCUACAAUCUGAUAUCUAUGCAUUAAUGUUGUCCCCCAUUGUGUGCUAGUUGAACUAAGCAAGGCUAAGCAAUCCCUAGUCCAACCUCUAGUCAUGUUAUAUCCCAAGCUAAGAAAGGAACAUCGUACCAAAAUAGCAUGGCUAUAACAGUAGGUAAACAUUCCAUGGUAAUAUUAUAAAACAAUGCAGUAUUUGAACGGAAACAAAAGAGCAUUUGCAAUAUAGGAUCAACAUGUUCAAGUGACAAGCAUGACUUGCCUUGCACUGCUGCUGGAGGAACCUCGGUGACUAUUUCAAAGUACAACGGAGCGUCAGGAGAGCCGGAAUCUAAGCGACAUACAAAGCAAACAAUACAAACAGGCUAUAAGACUACUGAAACAGAGAACAAAACUAUUUUUAAUGGAUUCUACACAUUUUUCUUGAUUUACUGAGACUUGAAUAGGCUUAAAUGGAGCUCGGAUGAAUUAGAUAUGAAUUUUAGAAGAUUCACUGUGUUUUUACUAUAAACAGAAAAAUCCUUAAUUGAAUUAUUGCGCAAUAAAUAAAUCCCGGGAGAGAGAGGGGCGGCGCCGACAUGCGGGCCCCACAUGGCAACGACUCGGGGAGGGCGGUUCACGGUGGACCGAGUCCACGGACCGGGGAAGGGGCGGCGCGCCACGUGGUGCACACGUGGCGCCGACGCGGCGCACAUUCGGCAACCACGCGGGUGGCCAAACCGACGGCCCCAAUCUACCCGAGGGUAGAUCGGACGGCGGCGGGGAGCACGCGGCCGGCGCGCACGGGCGGCUCGAGCCGGCCCGGCGACCAUGGCGCACGGCGGCGCUACCGCGGGACGGCGACGCGGCAGACGGCGGCGUCCGACGACAAGCGGCGGCGGUGCGACGGCGCGGCGACACUGGCUGUGGCUAAGCGGCUAGGCAGCGACGCGACGACUAGACGGCGCGGGAGAUAGGGAGAGAGAAAGAGGAGGAGGUGCCUCACUGACGACAAGCGACGAUGGCGAGCGACGGAGGACGAUGGUGUCACACCCUAAAAAUCCCAAAUAUAUAAAUUGUUGUUUAAUUGGAAUUAUUAGAAUUGAUUUUAAAAGCCUAGAGGAGAAGAUCUAAUUUUAAAUAAUAAAUUCCAAUAUAAAAUUGGGCCAGAUAAAAUUUUAUUAAAUACUUUGCUUGAUUCUAUAGUUCCUAGAUUUUUCUGGGAUUUAUUUGAGCCAAGGAAGUAUUUUUAAUAAAUGGAAUUGCAUUUCAUGAAUAAUUUAAAUUGGAAAAGUUUUAAAAAGUCUUCUUUUGGCUUUGGGCCGAAAGUCGGCCCAAACCUCUCUCUCUCCUCCCCGGCCCAGGUCGGCCCACAGCCGAGCGCCGCCCGCGCGCGCGCGUCCCGCUCACUGACAGGUGGGGCCCACCUGUCAGUCUUCGUCUACCUCCAGCCAUCGCCGCGCCCGAACCCUAACUGAGCCGCGCCGCCGUCUCCUUCCAAAUUCGUUCAUCCUUUUCCCGAUCCGUUGAAAUUGAUAGAGGGGAAAUGAUCCCCGAGAUCCACUCUACCUUUUCUCUUUUGGAAUCGUUGGCUAAAAUCGUUUGGAAAUCCGUGGAUUCGAUCUCGAAUCAGAUUCGUCUCUCUCUCCGAACCCUAACCUUUCCAUCGCCGCCGCCAGUCGCCGUGGGCCUUCGCCGCCGCCCCCCUAGCCUCUAUAAAAGGACCCCCGGUGUCUCCUCUACCCACCGCCACCCUCACUUUCGUAUCUCGUCACCGGUAGAGCCCUAGCAUCGUGUAGCCUAGCGCCGCCGUCGCCGCCAUUCGUCCAGCCGUGCGCCGCCGUUGCUCCGGUCGUCGUCGUCGUUCGGGAAGGCCGUCGUCGUGAUCGUCAUCUCGUCGCCGUCCUCGUCCGCCCCUCCGUCGUCGCCGUAGAUCGCCGGAGCCCCGCCGUCGUUGUCAAGCCGAAGGUCACCGCCGCUUCUUCCUCAACGCCGUCGCCAUCCGUUGACCUACCGCCGCUGCUUUGGUCACCGGUGAGUUCGCCGUGUCGCCCGCAACCCGUAGGUGUCCUCCGUUCGCGUCGUCGUGCCGUCGUUCGCCGGCGAGCAUGCGCCGUCCGAGCCGUCGCCGGUGACGACGUCACCGCUGACGUCAUCGACGCCGUCCGCCGUAGACCGGUCGUAGACCGUUAGAUCUUGUCCGUCCGUUUUGGAUAGAUCGAUCUCGGCCGUUUGUUUCUGUGAACCGCCGCCGUGCACCCGGUCCACCGUGAGCCGAGUCCGCUGACGCAAUAAUCCCCUUUUCCUUUUCAAAAAUAAUUCAUGAGAUAUGGGUUCAGCUGGAUAUUAGAUAUAAUUACUUAGCCAUGCUUAGAAACAUUAGCACAUAGUUGGGAUAACUUAUGCUUCACUAUUAUUUAAUGAUGGCUUAAUGAUAGCUCAUGAUGGUUAAUCAUGAUUGGUUAAUUAAUUAAUUUGCCAACUAAAACCUGAUAAUGGUGGGUUGUGAGCAUAUGGUUUUGAUGGUUGUGCUCAUGACAAUUAAGGACCGGUUCACGAUUUUCGGUUGUGAAACAUUUACCGUGCCAACCACAAGCCAGCGUAGGCAAUGGCUUUACUUUCUGUAUAGUAUGGUUCAUAGUAGAGCACCAGACUGUGAAGUGGCAGAGAUAAGCCCACGGGGGUCGCUGGGUAGUCCAUACCUUGUUUAUAAGGGGGUGAUUAUGAUCCAGGAACAGUGCACUGCUUUGAAUUGUAUUAUAUAGAGGGUAUUGUCACAAUCUAUAUUCGGGUACUUGUUAAGUAUCGCGACGCAUGGUUGACAUGAUGUUGAGGUUGUGUCUUGUGGGUACAGUGCUACACCUCUGGCCAUAGUUUAAACUAUUCGAAUAGCCGUGCCCGCGGUUAUGGUCGCGUCUAACAAUGUCUUUCGUGAUUAGUUUCACAUUCAUGCUUGUCAGGAGGUGGCAAGGAUCGCCAUGGGGGAGCUCCGCGAAAGCUACAAUGAUCGGUUGGCCGACACCGAGUAUCGCUACCAUCCUCGUCAACCCCAAGGAAGUGACCGUGGCAGCUACCUUGAACCUGCAGGGAUUGAGAAUGAUGCUACCACAAGGCAUUUGGUUGAGAUGCUGUGGGCCAUGGAUGAGACCCGCGGUGAGAUUGUGAUAGCAGCUCAGGAUCGCGAAAACCGGAAUCGCGGCAAGAUUUGCAAGCUGGAGGACAAGGUGGAUCGUUUAGAGAAGGAGCUAGCCGCGUUGAAGGGAGAAGCACCACCGCAAAAGGCCAGGGUUCAUCUUACCGCAAGGAAGAGAGCUCUAUUCGUUCCUCGCUACCAGUUGGCGCCAAAGGUUCGUGUGGUGGAAAAAGAAACUAUCCCAGCCCCAGCGGAUCCUCCGGUCGUCAACGUAAGUGAUGAUGAUGAAGAAGAAUCCAAGCGCACCCAUUCCAAGGUCGAGUGGGGAGCAACUCAAGAUGAUGGAGACGCACCGAACGAGCCUUCAAUCAACUCCGAUGCCCGGAAAACCUAGAAUGCCUUGUCAAGUCGUUAUCUUAGAUCGUUGUGUUAGUUUGCUUGUUUAAGUUUGGUUGUGUGUGUGGGUCUUGCAUGUGGUUUACAUCAGUGGUGGGAUGUAAAUGCAUGCCUUUGUUUGCUUCCGAGUGUUAGGAAGUUGGUGAGUUUAGUGGUGUGAGAGUCUUCAGUUUUGUAAUAAUGAAACUCAGUUAAGAUCAAUAAAAGUUAAGUUAGUAAAAAUUAAUUCCCUGUCCUAAGUAGUUUUUCCCGUUUCUCUUUUUGUGUUCCUAUCUAUGCCAGAUGUUGCUUACUCGCAGCAACGGGAAUGGCCCCAACCCCAACAACAACAACAACAAUGCAGAGAAUCCCACGCUUGCUCAAGUCCUGGCUCAACAGGCACAGCUUAUGAAUUUGAUGAUGCAGCAACUCCAGAACCAGCAGAACCAGGAAAACAACCAUGCACCUCCCCCAAAUAAGCUGGCAGAAUUUCUUCGCGUGAGGCCGCCUACUUUCUCUAGCACCACCAAUCCUGUUGAAGCUGGUGAUUGGCUGCACGCCAUAGAGAAGAAGUUAGACCUGCUUCAGUGCACAGAUCAAGAGAAGGUUUCUUUUGCUUCACACCAGCUGCAUGGCCCUGCCUCUGAGUGGUGGGAUCACUUCCGUCUCAACAGAACUACUGCUGAACCUAUCUCUUGGCUUGAGUUCACCGCUGCUUUCCGGAAGACGCACAUACCAUCGGGAGUGGUGUCUCUCAAGAAGAAGGAGUUCAGGUCGCUCACUCAGGGAUCCCACACUGUCACCGAGUAUCUGCAUGAAUUUAAUCGCCUGGCUCGUUAUGCUCUGGAAGAUGUGCGCACUGAUGAAGAGCGCCAAGAGAAGUUCUUAGAGCACCCGCAAUGGUAAAGUAAGGUGCUCUCUAUAAAACAUGUACAUCUCAGCAAUAGACUAGAUUAAUAGUAAACCACCUCAAUAGUAUGUCUACAACAGUAUCUAUAGCUCUCUCAUGCAUUGCCUCGGUUUUCUCUAUAGACUAUCUCUAAGUUAGUAGAUAGCUUUGCUCUCUCUCUUCAUUUAAUAUCUUCCAAAUAGGAAAAUAUGCUGACAUGGAUCUCUUGUAGAGAGCCUAUAGAUAACCAUUGUGGGUGCCCUAAAGGGCUAUAUGAUGAGCUUUCUUACCCACUCAUGACUGGGGAUUAUCAUGAUUUCCAGAAGUUAGUGGAUAAGGCUAUUCGCCAGGAGGACAAGUACAACCGCAUGGAGCAGAAGAAACGCCGAAUUGCUCACUUCAAGGCUCAGCAGGGGAAUAGUCAGAGGCCGCGUCUUGCUAUGGGACCUCAGUCAGUGUCACAGGGAGGUUCUUCGUCGGUUGUUCGUCCGCAACGUCAGUUCUUCAACAACAGUGCUGGCAACAACAACCGCAACCAAGCUCCGCGCUCUGUUGCAGCUCCGACACAGCAUCAGCCUGCCAAGAGGGAGCAAGGCAGUAAGCCCGAGGUGUGCUUCAACUGUGGAGACCCAAGACAUUACGCUGAUAAGUGUCCGAAGCCCCGCCGCACGAUGGUUGUCCCUGCCCAGAACAACUCCUCCGCACCAGCGACAAAGGCACGUGUCAACCAUGUUGCUGCUGCAGAAGCUCAACGUGCUCCAGAUGUGAUUUUGGGUACGUUCCCUGUUAACUCAGUUCCUGCAACAGUGCUUUUCGAUUCUGGUGCUACGCAUUCCUUUCUAUCUAUGAGUUUUGCUGGAAACCAUGGGAUGGAAGUAGAAGAUCUUAGACGUCCUUUGAUGGUUAGUUGUCACGACCGGAAAUAACCCAACGGGCUUUCCUGACGUGCGUGCAUUAAUCCUUGUCCCAGGAGGCAAGGUACACCAAAAGUUGAUACAAUUCAGAGUUUAACAAGCGGAAGCGUAAAUAGUUAACUUAUUACAUGGGCAGCGAAGGCCCAGCACACACAAAGACAAACGAGAAACAGCGGAAGACUAGGGCGACGACCACAGGCGCUUGACGGCAGGCACGAGCUAGACACCAAAGCCUUCAUCUUCAAGGAGCUCCUCUUCUGGGCUUGGGAAAAAUUUGAGCAAGACUGAGUACAACCACCGUACUCAACAAGACACACCCACAAGUGCAGAAUAAAUGCAAGGGAGUACAAGGGAAUUAUAAUAUGAAGGGUUAGGGUUGCAGUAAACAGCAUUUAAAGACAUUUAGUUGCUCAAAGCCAUUUUGUAAGCACGAUUCUAAAACUAUACAAUAUUAUUAAUCAAGGCCGUGAACCCACACGAACCUGCCUUAACCCAAGGCCUACGAUGAUUCAGACCGAACUGGCAACCCAACCCUGGGUCCCAGCUCGUCCUAAGCCAACCCAGGCCAUCCAUUCCACCUUUUAGUUGUUAAGCAGGUUUUAAGAAUUAAAGCACUAACUUGGGUACAUUGCUCGGCUUGCCCAUAACCGAGGGCGCGGCUAUUCGAAUAGAUUCUACUCUGAUCAGAGGUGUACAUCUUUACCCACAAGACACAUCUUCCUCACGUGCAACCACGUGCCACAUACCACCACGGUAUACAGACGGAAGACGUGACAUAGUUUCCAACCCAUCCUAGCCAUAGACAAGAGUACCGACCCAAUCCCGCCUACGGCCGGAACCCCCGGGACAGGCAG